This 55746-nucleotide long non-coding RNA is filed under the name Ananas comosus (pineapple). RNAcentral's name for it is "long non-coding RNA (ACOM_LNC009482)". Lineage: Eukaryota; Viridiplantae; Streptophyta; Magnoliopsida; Poales; Bromeliaceae. The record is from RNAcentral.
AUUUUUUAAGGUGAAAGUCCAAUAUUGCCCCUAAGGCCUUGUUUGGAUACAUAGUUAAAAAACUCCAUGGAAUUUUUAUUCUAUAGUUUUUAUCUAAAUGAAAUACGGAAUCCUGUAACUACAAAAAAAUUCUACAGCUUAAUUUUUAAGCUAUUUUGAUACAGAUCAUACAAUUCCACAGUAUUUAUAACAAUUAAAUUUCUAAAAUUUUAAAAUUCAAAAUUCAAAAUUCAAAAUUUAAAAUUCAAAAUUCAAAAUUUAAAAAUAAANNNNNNNNNNNAAAUUUAAAAUCAAAAUUAAAAUUGAAUUUUAAAAUUUUAAAUUUUGAAAUUUAAAAUUUUAUGUUGAAAUUUAAAAUUUAGAAAUUGAUACAUCUUUGGGAGUCCAAAAUGGUGGAAUUUUUUCCUUUGGUUAAAGUGGAUUGUAAGUUUACUCCAUUUUUUGGAGUAUAGUAUAACUAUACUCCAAAAAUUACAUUAUUUUUUUUCUUCCAACUGCUUCAUAGGAUUAUUUUCCUACCGGCAUAGUAUAGUUUAAUUAUGUAGGGUAUAAUCCAGAUUAAUUGUUUAACCAUUCUCUACCACUCCACCUUAUAUAUUCCCUCUCUUUAUUUAAUAAUAAUAAUAAUAAUUAUUAUUAUUAUUUAUUAUUAUUAAUCCCCAUAAUUCCAUUAUUUUUGUAAGUAUAUAAAUAUAUAAAUAUAUAGAGAAGCUCAUUUUCCACUCUCUAUUCUCUCUCCCUCUCUCUAUCUCUCUCUCCCUCUCUCUCUACAUCUCCGUUUAUAGCAGAGGAAAAGCUCCGAAGCUUUAGCCCAAAAAUGGCGGCUUUUUAGGGUACGCUCCUUCUCCCUCUCUUUGGAUUCGUGUCGCACUGUUCGAUUUGUACUAAUCUGUUCGGUUUUACUCCCUUUUUUGGCGAAUUUUUAACGAUUUUUUGACAAAUUUGUGUGGCUUUUGAGCCGAAAGUGAUGUUUUUGAAUGGAUCCAAUGAGAUCUGUGGGGAAUUUGGCUAUUUGAGGAAUACCGAUUUGUUGGAUUGGGUUUGAAUCGAUUGCCUUGGGUGAUCUGAAUAUUUUGGCCUUUUCAUUUCCUUUUUUUUGUCAUAUUUUGUUGUUUUUUUUGGCUGGAGAUGUAUUAUUUGUGCUCAAGUUGUUUCAAAAUUGAUCAAAAUUGAGUAUUUUAGGUCGGUGAUUUAGUGCUUUGGUUUGUUGUACCCACUAUAGAUCCAAAAUUUUCAUGCAUUUGUAUAGCAAAUUCUUAGAUUUGUACGUAUAAAUAUACGAAUUAUUAUUCUCUUUAAAUGUGAUUAUUCUCGUUUUGUUUCAUGCAGGAGAUUGAAUCAUUCAUCGGUUGGCUUUUUGUUUGAUUUGUGAAUUAUUUACUGUUUAAUUUCCCGCAAUUUGUAAAUUGCAACACCUCCUACAAUGCCUGGAAUUAUAAUGGAUGAAAUUGUGAGAGAAGACGGAUCGAAUGAUGCGAAUUCGUCGCAAAUUAAAGAGAAUUUGUCGACCCCCAAAUCUCCGAGGGCUUCUUCGCCGAGCCAACUGAGUGCUCCGAUAGGCGCUCUCGAAAUCCGCGGUGGAAAUUUUGGGGAGCCGUCGAUCGAACAGCUUUACCACAAUGUGUGUGAGAUGGAGAGCUCCACCGAGGACUCCGGUCGCCCGAGCUUCGGAUCGGACGGCGAGGAAUCGAGGAUCGAUUCCGAGCUAUGCCACCUCGUCGGUGGCGAAAUGGAAGCUGUUAAAGCAAUCGAGGACGAAGAAGAGCGAGCUUCCCCGAGUGGGAAUAUGGUUAAGACCGAAUCCCCCGCCGAGUCUUUGAAUUCGUCGAAGAAGUCGAAAAAUCCUUCGAAAGCACAACUAGAAUCUUCUCCGGCCGUGAAUUCGAGCCCGAAUGAUAACAGCGUGAAGAAGACUCCUAGUAGAUUCGGUCGCUUGAAGAAGCAAGCAAACGGAGGCGAAGACCCAUCCGAAGCCGGACUCGGACUCGACAACCCUGACCUCGGCCCGUUUCUUCUCAAGCGCUCGAGGGAUUUGAUCGCCUCGGAUAACAUCCGAAGGGCUUUGAAAUACGCUCGCCGUGCAUUGAAAUCGUUCGAGAAGUGCUCGGACGGGAAGCCCAAUUUGAACUUGGUGAGGUGCUUACAUGUCUUAGCCGCAAUUAACUGCAACUUAGGGCAGUAUGGUGAAGCCGUCCCGCUUCUUCUACGUUCGCUUGAGAUUCCAGUUCUCGAAGAAGGCCCAGAGCAUGCCCUAGCUAAGUUUUCGGGCUAUAUGCAGUUAGGUGAUACUUAUGCAAUGUUAGGGCAACUUGAAUCUUCGAUAAAGUGCUACAAUGAGGGCUUACAAGUUCAGAAGCAAACGUUGGGUGAUACGGAUCCUAGGGUCGGUGAAACUUGUAGAUAUUUAGCGGAAGCUUAUGUACAAGCGCUUCAAUUCGACGAAGCACGGAGACUGUGCCAAAUGGCUUUAGACAUUCACAAGGAGAGCGGCGAACCGGCUUCUCUCGAAGAAACGGCCGAUCGACGGCUUAUGGGCCUUAUUUGCGAUACCAAGGGCGAUCACGAAGAAGCGCUCGAGCAUUUAGUUUUGGCUAGCAUGGCCAUGGUGGCCAAUGGCCAAGAAUCCGAGGUGGCUUCUGUCGACAGCAGCAUUGGAGACAUUUAUCUAUCCUUAGCUCGGUACGACGAAGCCGUUUUCGCUUACCAAAAAGCGCUUACGGUGUUCAAAACCAGCAAAGGGGAGAACCAUCCUGCCGUGGCUUCUGUGUUUGUUCGUUUGGCCGAUUUGUACAAUAAAAUCGGGAAGAUAAGGGAAUCGAAGUCUUAUUGCGAGAAUGCGCUUAGAAUAUAUCAAAAGCCGAUUCCAGGGACAUCUCCUGAGGAAAUUGCUACUGGGUUAACUGAUAUUUCUGCUAUAUACGAAUCGAUGAAUGAGCACGAGCAAGCAUUAAAGCUGCUUCAAAAAGCGCUAAAGUCGUAUAACAAUUCGGCUGGUCACCAAAGCACGAUCGCUGGGAUCGAGGCCCAGAUGGGAGUUUUGUAUUAUAUCACGGGGAAUUACGGGGAGUCUUAUGUGUCCUUCAAGAGUGCUAUUAGUAAGCUUAGGGCUUGUGGGGAGAAGAAAUCGGCUUUUUUCGGUGUUGCUUUGAAUCAGAUGGGGCUAGCUUGUGUUCAAAGGUAUGCUAUUAAUGAGGCGGCGGAGCUUUUCGAAGAAGCCAGAAGCAUUUUGGAGCAGGAGUACGGACCAUAUCAUCCUGAUACACUUGGAGUGUACAGCAAUCUUGCGGGAACGUAUGAUGCCAUGGGAAGGUAUACAUAUUUCUUAAUUAGCUUAAUAUCCUCUGCUAUAUAUUCUUCAUAUAUUUCCAUGUUGGAUUCAAUUUAUAUGCUAUUAUUGCUUUCCUUAAAUUAUCUCGACAUCAUUGCUAUAUGGUUGAUUGGAGUACGAUUUUUCUCUUCGUUUUUUUUUGACUCGUUGCAAUAGUUUUACUUAUGCUUUAAGGAUGAGUGCAACUUUUCUCAAGAGAGCAAUAUUUCCAUCAGAAUCUGAAAAUUAAACUAGAUGGCCAUUUUGCAUUAAAAUUCUACUUUUUUGUUGUUGUUUUUUUGCACAUCUUCUCUUCUUUUUAUUUACUUUUUCAACUAAUGAUAAAAUAUGCACCAAAAUACCCUUGAUCAAAGUCCAUAUAUUUAUCAUAAAUGAAAAUUUCAGGCCAACUUAUUUUUUGCCAGAAAAAGGAAAAAGUGGAUCAAUGAUACAAAAUCGAAAAAAAAGAGCGGGCUAUCUUUACAAGAACCGAAACAAGGCAUUCAAGUGCUGUUGAGGCAUGAAAUUCUCUGAGCUGUUGCGUAAAGUUUCAAAUAUUUAAAACUUAGGUGGUUUGCUUAUUUGAAGUGCUAUUGUUUAUUUCCCUUUCCAUUAUUUAUUUGUGGUCUGCUUAUUAAAAAGGUACAAUGUGAGUAUUAUAUGGUUUGCUUUGUUGCUUUUGCUUUGCUUUUUCUUUUUGCAUUAGCUUUAUUGAUUGUUGUAGGAAGCUUCCCACUAACACUGGGGGCAUGUGGUUUGCAGCUUUAUGGAAUGUCUCCUUUGCUAUCUCUUAUAUAGGUUAGUGUUAUAGUACUGACUCUCCAACUACUGUACACUGUGUCAGUUUAUUUUUUAUGAGCAGCAAAAGCUUAAGCUUAGCUUUAGAAUCGUUGAAAAAGAUCAAAUAAUGUCGCGAAUCUGCUUAGCUUUUAGUUGAUGAGGUUUGCCGAAGCCAAAUUAGUGAAGGAAAGGGUAAAUUUGACCCGUAAUGCGAAACCAAAUUAGGUAAUCUUAAGUCAAAAUUUGUCUCGGAUGUUUCUCAUAUCAGUUAAGCUAUAACUCCGAGAAUUUUUUACUGCAAUUUGUUGCACGGCUAUUCAAGAAGCCGAAGCCAGAGAGCUGGCAAAAAAAAGAAAGUAAGUUUGUUUGGCCAUGUUGUCGAGUGUAGUUCAGUCUGGAAUAGUGCUAUUCGAGUCAGCACUAUAUAAAAAUCAUCCCAAUGGCUCUUCCCUACGGUAGAAGUAGAAAUUUCAAAUUAAAACUUCUAUUUGGGUCUUAAAGCCUCGUUCUAACUUAUUGCAGUAGAGGCUCCAGGCCUUUUUGUACGUCAAAACUCUAUUAGAAAUAGCUGCAACUGAAAGCAAAAGUAGAAGCAGAACCAAAUAGGCACUUAAACAACUCUACUUAAAAAACACUUUUGCAAAUGCUCCAGCUAUAUCAAAAUCUAACACCCUGAUGCAAAUAUGUUGCGCUAUUCCAAACUUCAAAGCAAGGCGUAAUGAUGACGAUGAUGACAUCUGAGUUGUUCAUUCUCUUUUUAAUGUGUAGGUUGGAUGAGGCCAUAGAGAUGCUGGAGUAUGUGGUGGGGAUGAGGGAGGAGAAGCUGGGGACAGCCAACCCAGAUGUGGCUGAUGAGAAGAGGAGGUUGGCUGAGCUGUUGAAGGAAGCUGGAAGGGCCAGAAGCAGAAAAGCCAGGUCACUUGAGAACCUCCUGGAGACCAACCACCCCCCUACUAUUACUGCUACUGCUGCAGCUACAACAAACACAAAUGCCAUUGUGGCUUAAUAAUAUAAUAAUAAUAAUUCUCUUUAAAUCAAAGUGUGAUGAAGGUAGAGAGGAGGAUGGUAUUAGAAGGGUUCAAUGAUUAAUAUAUAACAUAAUGAUUGAUAGUUGAUUGGUUGCAUUGUAUACUUUAUUGCUCUUUUAAAGGGAUUUGUUCUUUUGGUUAAUUUCUAUUGCUUAGAAUAUUUGCGAUAUAUAUUUUUUUUAGAGAAUCUCCAAUUAUGUUUUUGGUAUGAUGUUUGAUGUAUCGCUAGCCAAUCAUAUGAUACUGCAUCGUUCAAUGCGUAUUAUAAAAGAUUACUACCACUACCACCACCACCACCACAAACACAAACUUUACCGAAAGUGGAGGGGGUCGAAGUUGUUUUCGGCCGUAAAUGAUUUCUUUUGCUGUCUGGUUCGUUGUAAAUUAAAUUCGCUUGUAAUUUCACUUUUUUAAAAUGUUAUAAUUGACUUCAUCGUGGGUGGUGCGGAAGUCAAUAGUAAAAAAUUAUCUGUUGUAACUUUUUGUUUUUUCACCUUCUUAUGUGAUUGUGUGGAAACUUUUGGUUUUAGGGGGUGGCUUCAAUGAUGAUCAUCACAAUACAAUGGUUAGUAAUUGAAUUGAUGAUGAUUGAUUGAUUGUACUAUAUUUGGUGAACUACUUGUGAGUUUUUAAAAAGGAUAAUGGAUAUGUCACGACGAGACCAGAUCCGCAAGUCCGAAGCCCGAUGGGUGGGUGGGCCUGGGCCUGAUUUUUUUCUGGUCCGGCCUGGAUCGGAACAUAAAUAAUCUGGGCUUGAGUCAGGUCCUUAAAAGGCCGAAUCGACUCGGCCGGAUUUAUAAUAAUCUCUUUAUAAAAUUAGUAAAACUAUAUAGAACUUAUCUGAAGUGUUGAUCGUUCUAAAUUUACUGCACAACAUUUUAAAAUUUUGAUUUUACUAUCUAAUAUUUUCAAUUUGUUUGUUUUGAGUCAGUUUGACGAUACUUUUACUUUAAAAUUUAAGCUAAUUGUUUAUUCUAAUAAGUUUAUAGCUGUGAGAAUUACAUGAAUAUACUAAAUCUGUAAAAAUGAAUGACAAGUUAAAGUACUGUUAACUACUCAAAUUAAAAUAUUGAAAGGUUAGAUAAUAAAAUUAAAAUUUUAAAAAAUUAAAUAACCAAAUUUAAAAAAAUGUUAUAUAUAAAAGAGGAAAUAAAAGUUUUCAAUUUGUCAAAUUUUCUUUUAAAUAUAACCUUUAUAUUCCCAAAGUGGAAAAUAAAAAAUAUGGCAAACUUCAAUGGGCACAAAAGUGAAAUUAUCUUAUAAAUUGUGAAAACUAUGCACCUUUUUUACUUUACAAUCUCAUGGCUUAUACCCUAUUUUAUUUGACACAGCAUAUUUUUAUGAUAGAAUAAAUUUUUUUUUUUUUUUAUGAGAGCUACGGCGCGUUUGAAGUAAUCACUUAAUUAGUUAAUUAUGGUGUUUAAAAAAAAACCGAACCGCAUUAUUUGUUCCGGUUCAACAGACUCCGACAGUAACCCGAACCGGUCCGGUUCACGCGCGAGCGCACUCUACCUAUCUUCGUCGUCGCUCAUCGAUCGGAAAAACCCUAAACCCUCCUCUCUCUCUCUCUCUCUCUCUCUCUCUAUCGGUCUCUCCCUCCUCCCUGAGCUCGACAAUGGCGAUCUCGAAGCCGAAGAAGCCCCAAACCACCCUCACCGCCACCACCACUGCCGCAUCCUCCUCCGCCGAGGACCUCGACCGCCUCAAAUCCGAGGUAGCCUCCUUCGCCUCUUCCCUCGGCCUCGCCCCCCUCUCCUCCGCCGCCGCCGGGUUCGACGACUCCGACUUCCGCAAACCCGUCCCCCUAAAAGCCCCCAAAACCCUAGCCCCCGAUCCCGGCGAGCCCAAGAAGGGCGACGACCGCGAUCUCAAGCCGAAGCAGAAACCCAAACCCCACCCCCUACAAAUCGACCCCUUCGAUCACGAGGACAAGAAGAGGCUACCCACCUAUCCGCUGAUGAAGGCGAGCUCGCUCUCGGGGCAGUGGUACGCCGACGCGGAGGAGGUGGAGGCUAGGGUUCUGGGGCAGGAAGUGAGGACGAAGGCGUCGGCAGCGGCGAUGGGGAUCGAGGUGAUGAAGGGGUUGGUGGCGAGGAAGAAGGAGGUGGCGGAGAGGCUUAUGAGGCAGUACGCAGGGGAGUACGAGCAAUCGAGGAGGAAGAGUGGGGAUAUGAAGCUUCUUGAAGUGACGGCAAGGUCGGGAACUUCUGCAGAUAAGGUUUCGGCAUUCACCUGCUUAGUGGAGGAUAAUCCGAUCGCGAAUUUGAGGUCUCUCGAUGCUCUUCUAUGUGAGUUACUCUAUGUACUCAUCAACUAGUGUCUCUUCUUUGGGAAUAAUUUAGGUGACCUGUAUGGUACAGUCCAAUUUCAAUCUAAUACCUUGUGAUUUAGAUUGUAACAUUUUACUGUGUCGAUACUAUAUGACUCAUCUAACCACUGUACUAAGCGAAUUAAUGAGAUCAUGCAAUUAGCUAUUUUUAAUCAGCAACUUGAUUGUCGCGUACUCGCAUUCUUCAAUUUUACUGGUUUUAAGGACAAGUUCAAAUGGGCAAUUGGAGCAGUAAUCUUUGGUUGUAAAAUGUUGCAUCCGUUUUAAUACAUUUCGUUUUCUGCAUUUUCUUUCUUGUUUCUGUAUGAAGGAACUUUUAUUUGAUGCAGCUAUGGUGACCUCAAAGGUUGGGAAGCGCUAUGCAUUUACUGGUUUUGAGGCGCUAAAGGAGUUGUUUCUUUCAAGGUUAGCGAAUUCAAUCUGCUAGUGUUGUAUUCUCUCUCUUUCGGGAUUUACUAUGGAUUUUUCACUCGAUUAGUCAUAUGAUCUUCUUCCUAAUAGAUAAAUUAUUAGGUUCACCAAGAAUAGUGAAAUCUUCAAUUCAUACCAGUUAUAUGCCAACUAGUGCUGGUUCAAACUCGGUAUAUGGUAUCAAAUAGCUCGCUGGCAUGAUCUUUCCUUAUGAAACAUACCUACGUGUGGUGCGGUAAUUUUUUUUUCGUCUGAAUUUUUUUUUUCAGGUUGCUUCCAGAUCGUAAGUUGAAAUGCCUUUUCCAGCGCCAAUUGGAUGUUUUGCCGGAGACAAAAGAUGGUUUUACUCUUUUGCUCUUCUGGUACUGGGAGGAAUGUUUGAAGCAAAGGUAAAUUAAAUUUUGGCGUCCCAUUAGUUGAUUUUUCUUUAUUGAGUAUCAUUACAGAAGUUAUUUCAUAUUACUGUCCAUUUUAUUUUACUACAUGUAUUUUUUACUCUCCUUGCAAUUGGGUCAGCCCUUUCUUUAUUGAAGCAUUUUAUAUUUGUUCAGGGUUCCCUGCCUAGACCUGUUUCAACGUCUGAUACUUUUUCUGGAGUUAGGAUUGAUAGAUUGAUGGAUUUGCAAAUAGAAAAAUGAGAAGAAAAAAAUAACAGCUUAUUUUCCUAACAUCUUCUUUUUCGAGCUUAUUAUUUCUCCCUUACUCUUCAGUGAGAGGUCUUCCGCAGCUGGAUAGCCAACUGUCUUAAUCUCUCUUAAUCCACGUUGAAAUUUAUCUAUCUGGCUUUUUUGCCACUGUUAGAGGUCAGAAUGUCUAUUAAUUUCAUGUCACCCUUUAUAUGUAGAAAGAAUGUUAAACCCUUUUUAUGCAGAAAGAAUGUCGAUUGUAGUAGGAAGUAAGAUGGGCUUAUCCUACAAUUCUGACACUUCUCCUUUGAGAUUGUAUGUUUAUUGGCUGACUUGUCAGCUCAAGCAUUAGUUAAGCUUCCUAUUUUGAAUAGCCAUUUACGGAUGACAUGGUUAACCGCCAGCACAGUAUAAUUUGCCUGGUAACUCGGAAAAACCAGUUUCAAAUUUUUUGGCGUGGACCAACCGACCAAGCUUUUGAGGUGGCAUCUUUGGAUUGCAUAGCUUUAUCAAACGUUUGAAAUAUUUGACUUUGUAGGUGAAGAUAGCUAUUAGUUAUGCAACUUAUGAUGCCCCAAGUGAACUUUGUAAUUUUCCCUUCUCAAGUUGUCCUAAAGUGUGCUUUGCAGUUGUCUAAAGUGACGAAGUGUUAUGGACUGUAUCGUGCAAAUUGACCGAGUUUUAUGGACUUUAUUGUGCUUUUGACUAAAGGUAUGAAAAGUUUGUGAUUGCUCUGGAGGAAGCACUAAAAGAUAUGCUACCUAACCUCAAGGACAAAGCAAUGAAGGUUAGUCUACUCUGCUUGCUAAUUUUCUAAUUCCAAUUUUCUUACUUAACUAUUCAUCUUAAGCAUUUGUCUUUUUGAGGUCUAGACUUAAGACCUGUCUAUCAUGAUAUUGGCAUGCAAUUUAUCGUCAAGGAUCGUUUUAUGGUUUAAAAUGUUGACAUGCUUGUUUGUCAAUAUUAGACUUCUCCUCAACUAGUAAGUUUGAAGAAGAGACGUACUCGAAUGUCCAGACAGAUUUAGGAAUAAAGAAGGUUUCAGAUAGAUUUUCACAAAAAAUGUUGAGCAGGGGGAGACAAUAGGACAGACAAAGCUUUGGGUUACGAUAGUUCGAGACUAGGUUCUCUUUGGUUGGGAAUAGGAGGAUCAGUAUUUGCUCAGAAAAUUAUUUUUGGUUAUGUAUUCAUUGUUAUAUGGUUCUUUCAUGCUGCAAGUAACAGAAAAUAUUGUAGCUUCUAAAUUAUUAAUUUGGGUGGUACUUGAGUAGUUUCACACAGGAUGGCUGUUUGCUUCACAGUAUGGACUGGGCUAGUUUUGAUUCUCAAAAAUAUCAAAAGUGGAAAUUUUCUUUUACAUGGUAUCAGGAUUUCAGCAUUGAUGUUGGUCAAAACCUUGUUUUUGAAGUGUCUAAUAUUUUGAAGUUUCUCACAAACUUUUUUCCCAAAAAUCUGCUCUCUUUUUCCUGUACGUACUGCCACUACUUGCCAAUAUAAAUAUGAUUUGUGAGUGGUUCUUGCGUCCUGGCUUUUUUAGGGUCAUUGCAGGAUCAAUGUUGUACUUUUAUUGGAAAGACUUACUGAUGCUAAAUGAUUGUCUUUCUUUCCUUUUUAUGGCAGGCAGUCUUCAUCCUUUUAAAAAGUAAAUCAGAACAAGAACGUAGGUUACUUACAGCUCUUGUUAAUAAGGUCAGUGAUUUUUUCUACUCAUGCAGCUCCUCUUGUACUGUUUACUGUCAUCUACCUGUGUGUUUCUCUUUCUUUUCUCAUCUUAUGUAUUUAAGACAAAAAAAAAUUGGCAAUGAAAAAAGCAACCCGUCAUUGUUAUAGAAGAUCUGAUACAUUUUAAGUCACAUGCAGCUAGGGGAUCCUGAGAGGAAGGCAGCAUCUAGUGCCGGGUAUCACUUAUCAUGUUUGCUAUCUGCACAUCCUAAUAUGAAGGUAACAUAAAUGAGCUUAUAUCCUUUUAGUUUGUUUUCUUUCUUUUGACCACACUGUUCAGAAUGUUAGUAUCCCAAACUUUAUCUUGCAUACAUUAAUAUCCAAGAUACUGAAAUCCCCUUGUGACAUGUAGAAUGCAAUAUUAUCCCAUAUUACUGGUUUACAACUAUAUGAUGAGGUCUAUACAUCAAACUAUCUUAUGCCGAUUGUAUUGACCAACCAACAAACCUUGUGGGCUGGGAAGUUAGGAGUAGAGAGAGAUAAAAGCGCAAUUGUUCUCUGGAAUUUUUUGUUUUUCUGCUUACUUUGCUUUACUUGGCUAAGAGAUGCAUGGAUUCCUGCUAUGUUUUUAUUGUCUCUGCUCGAAUGUCCCAUCAGGGCAUUUUGCUGUUUCCUUUGCUUGUUUUUUCUAAGCUUCUGUAUGUGGACUUUCACUGCAUAGUUGAAUAUCUGAGUUGCUGGGUGAAUGAUGUUGAAUGUGUUUGAGAAAAUGAACUCUUCAACUGGGAUUUCUCUAAUUUACUGCAUAGCAAAGAAGCUAAGUUCAAUUCAUUUGUAAUCUUUUAGUCGGUUGGUUAAAAUUUUAAACAGAAAAAAAGUCAAGGAAAAAAAAAGAAACAAAAUUUAUAAGAAUGGUUCAAUUUCCAAAUUAACUAUUCUUUUUCAAUAGGUCCUUGUCUAAUCCAUCAAGUGCCUCUAUUGUGAAAUUGUUAUAUGUAAUCUGUUUCAAGAUAUGUUCAGCAUGUAUAUCCAAUCUUUUGGAUUCCUUUCACUGUUAACCUUCUGUCAGUCUCUUUUUUUUCCCGAAAUUUUGCAGGCGGUAGUGAUUGAUGAGGUGGAUUCUUUUCUCUUUAGACCACAUGUUGGAUUGCGUGCCAAAUACCAAGCUGUAUGUUCCUAUUAGCUCUACUUUGGUUAUAUUACAGUUUCGCAACUUGCUGAGCUGGGUUUAUUGCUAGUAUUUUGCUAAUGUUGUGUUCUUUUAAUUCCAAGUUGAUUUGUUUAUAGUUUGUCUAUAUGUUUCAAAGAUUUUAUUUUUUUUGUUAAGUUGAAAUUGAGUUUCAAAGGUUCAUUCUGUAGUUUUUUUUUUUUCUAUAUGAUUUGGAGUUGUACAAAUGUUAAUGAGCUCUUCCCAAAGCAGUUUGUACUUUUUUCUGUUCUAUUUAUCUGAACUUUUCAUAUGUGGGCAAAAUAUUAUUUCUAGUUACUGCAUUUUCUCUUUCUUUUGAUGUAGGAUGUCAUUUAGGAAGUACUUAUUCUUAUGUUUGAUUGGUUUAUUUCUUUCACACAUUUUGGUGAUAUUGUUGUUGUGGUAUUGUUACAUGAGCACCAUAACCUUCAUUUCAAUCUAGUAUGUCUUAUUAAUCUUCUGAUAUGGUUUUUGAGCAAAGACUAGAUCAAAAAGAAUUUAUGUUCUUAGAUGCAACUCUAAUCAGUUUAGAUAUUGUAAGUGUAUGAAAUGCACAUGCAUGUUAUAAUUUGAUGGAUUAUUACGGGCAUUGAGAAGUUUUCUUCUCUGUUAUAGAAUUAUAAUUUUUUAUCAGCAAAAAUGAUACACACAAAAGGAUUAAAUACAGUUUUCUCUGUGUGUCUUAUGUCUUUUUCCGAUGCAAGAGAGUGUACCUUUAUACGAGCCUGUCUUAGAGAUAAUUUCCUUUUAUUCUCCAGGUUAACUUUUUAAGUCAAAUUCUUCUCAGUAAAAAGGGUGAUGGGCCGAAAAUAGCAAAACGUCUGGUGGAUGUUUACUUUGCACUCUUCAAGGUCAAGAGUAUUCUCUUUACUUUAAUUCAUUCUCUUUCUUUACUUUGAAUGUUAUUGUGAUUUUCAAUACAUCUCUCAAAUGAUAAACCUUAUUUUUGUAUAAAUACUGGUUCUACUAUAGCAUAUUCAUAGUACGAGUCCGGCUAUGGUGCUUGUAAAAGCACCAAGGAGUUGGUGCUUGUAAAUUUUUUACCGUUAGAUCUAUACCUUUGAUCAUUUUUACCCAUUAGAUUAUACUAUUCAACCAACCACCCACUCAACCCUAGGGAGCCCACAUUAUCCUGACCGCACAUCCCUUAAUCCAAAGGUCGAAAACUUACAAGCAUCAAUGACUUGGUACUUUUAAAAGCAUAGGAGCUCAAUUCUUCAUACUACUUUCUUAUUGUUUGAGCUUGUGAUUUACCAUUCUUAAUUAUUAUUACCUUUCUCUGCUGAACUGAAUGAUUUCAGUAGUCAAAGAACAGAUCUUAAGUGAAAAGAAGUACCUGAUUCAUUUGAGCUACUUCACAUGGAUGUAUUGACUUGCACAGAUAACAUAAAUAAAGGUGUUUUUGGGAUUUUGUUCUCGAUUCUAAUAUUUUUUGAAGGCCUCAAGCAGUAGUUGAAUGAGAGUUCAAUAAAAAGCAUGUCAUUCUGGAAGUUCAAUUCAUCCAAUAGCACUUCUUGAAGGCCUUCUUAAGAACCAGUUUUAUUAGAAGUUCAAUACAUCUGAAAGGACUGUUUAUUUCUCUGUUUUCUUCCUUUGUUUUUCUAUCAAGAGCGUAUUUAGUAUGUCGUUUGGAUCUAUCACCUUCUUAUUUAUGUACAUGUGUAUUGACAUGGUCUCUGAGUACCUUCUUAUUUAUAUCAGGUACUUAUCGCUGAGUCUCACGGUAAUGAAGUGCAUAAAAAAAGCGAAGAUGACAAAAGAAAUGUCAAAAAGAAGGAAAAAAGAGGGAAAGUUAAAGCGCCCACUUCUUUCCGCAACAGCAAGGCAGAACCUUCACCAGAGUCUAAUGUUGAGAUGGAUUCUCGGCUUCUUUCUGCACUUCUAACUGUAAGUAUGUCAAUACAUGUCUCUUACUUUUCUGAUUAAAUUCAUAUUUUCUAGAAAAAGUAGUCCUUAUAUGUCUUUCCCCUCUGGACUAAAUUAUCCAACAUCCUCCUAUAUCCUAAAGGACUUCAAUGCCAACUUUCUUUGCGAUUGGUUUUGCUUACAAUUGAUAAGCAUAUCUUCUACUCUGACAGAGACAGUCUUCCUGAGAUUCUGGUUGUGAUUUCUUUUGAGUUGUUGGAUUUGAACUGCUUGCCAAUAUUAUUUUCUGGUCUUGAUACUCUUUCUUAUGCAGGGAGUAAACAGAGCAUUUCCAUUUGUUUCAAGUGAUGAGGCCGAUGAUAUUAUGGAGGUUCAAACACCUGUUCUUUUUAGAUUGGUGAGCUUAAGAAUUUUAACACCAGUAUUUAGUUUGAAUCUUAACUUUGUCUUUUAAGCCGUGUGUCAAACAUGACAUAUAAUGAUACUAAUGUUCUUGUAGGUCCACUCUGAAAAUUUCAACGUAGGAGUUCAGGCAUUGAUGCUUCUAUACCAAAUUUCUUCCAAAAAUCAGAUCGCCAGCGACCGUUUUUAUCGUGCCUUGUAUGCAAAACUUCUGAGCCCUUCCGCUGUUAGUUCAUCAAAGGUGAGCUUCCUUCUAUUUGCCUUUUGAUUCAGUUAUUCACUUGUAGUUCAGUCCAAUCAACAGAAAAUUGUCAUGAAAUUUCAAUAAAGCAGCAUGCUUGGCCAUAAGUUACUCUAAAUUGAAAGUUUGCUGGCCUAUUGUGUUAUCUUACCUGAAUAGUGUGCCCAGAAUAUAGAAUGUUAACUGUAUGAGAUGAUCAUGUUCCAUUGUAUGUAUGACCAUAACAGGAUUUUCUAUAAAAAUUGUUUUAAAAGCUGGCUUUAAAUAGAGGCAGUUUGAUGUAUAGGAUUUAGUUUAACAUGUAUUCUUGGAACUAUCAAAUGGUUGCAAUUUAUUUAUUCGAAGGCCUCCAGGAUUAUGUAACUUAAAUAAAUUGAGGACCUGCUAGACGAUUGAUUGAUCAGUGACAAUAAUUGGCUUGUAUUGAAUUUGAAUAUCACCAUUAGUUCAUGGAGUAAUUAGGGAAAUAUCAAACUAUUGCAUUUAGAUCAGUUAUUGUUUCAUUUAUAAUAUAGAAACUUUUAUUAUGCUCUAUUGCAUAAGAAGAAUAGACAGACUAGAAUAUCGUGUGUUUUUGGGCCUUCUUUGCAAGUCCAAAAUAAAUAUAUUAUAAAACAGCCAUAAUAGUAACUGUUUUAGGUUAAGGUUGUUGUUUAUUCCAGAAACUUGUUCAGAGAAAUUCAUGUAACACAGGUAUGCAAGACGAGAUGAAAAUGAGAGCUGAAUAUACGCUGCUGAUAAUCAAGGGAAUGCGAAAAAUUGCAGUGUUAAGUUGACUAAUUUUCAGUUGGUUUCUAUAAGCUAAUAUGCCCUGUGGAAAGUAAUCUAAUCUGUACAUUUCUGAUCGGACUGCUCUAUAUCGUUGUUUGACAUGUGUCAUGUUUGAUUUCAUUUUUUGCAAUCCUGAUUGUUGCCUUCAAUGGUUCAGCCAGAAUUGUUUCUUGGGCUAUUAGUGAAAGCGAUGAAGAAUGAUAUAAACUUGAAGCGAGUAGCUGCCUUUUCCAAGCGCCUUCUGCAGGUUAUUGAUGAUAUACUUUUGAUGUCUCUUCUUGUACUUAAUGCUAUUUUUGAAUAUUCUGGGAGGUGCUCAUUUUAGAAUUACAGCUUGAGGUUAGACUUUCUCUUACGAUCAUUAAUAACUAUUUUUGAACUUAUAUUUUCUAGGUAUGUUCACCUUGGGACUAAAUUUCUAUUACAUUUCAAUAGCAGCUAGUCAGUUAGUGACUUUUAUCAUGUAUGAGAAACUUGCAAUUAUGGAGCUCAAGUAAUUAGAUUUUGGCCUCUUUUCAGUUUGUAGUGUUUAUUUUAUUUUAUUAGUCUUAUGCUGCUCGAAGACUAUCUAGGUAACUUGUCACACCAAUUGGUUUGAUGUUAUAAUAAUUUUUAUGCCAUUUUAAGUAUAUAUAGCAUGUGACCAACAAUGACAGUGUUAUUGUAUGCAAUUCUACUUUUUGAUUCAUUUUAUUUGAAAUUCUAUCGAGCAAUAAAAUUCUUGUAGGUCUUUCUUCAUCAAAUUGCCACAAGUUAAUUAAGAAUAUUUUUGUUGGUAUAUUACUUAUGCAUUCCCUAAUCAAAUCUGUAUCUGAACAGGUUGCACUUCAGCGGCCGCCUCAGUAUGCUUGUGGAUGCCUGUUCAUACUCUCUGAAGUUCUAAAAGCAAAGCCACCUCUAUGGUAAGCUGUUUGAUAAAAUUAUUCUUUUUAACGGCACCAAAUUAAUGUUAGAUGGUAGACCGAGGGCCUGUUUGGCCUAUCUAUAGCCCUUGCAGUAGUGUUAUUCUAGCAAAGCUGUUCAUAGAAGCACUGACAACUAUUUCUUUAAAAUCUACUCAACAUCUUUCAACUGCAUAAAAAACAGAAGAUGUAAGUUGGAGGUCUUGCUUUUGAGAUGGCUGCAAAACUCAGUUUUGGUGUCAGUUUUUGGUCCUUCUAAAAUGAAAUGUAUCUGCUGUGUCACCAGUUUCAGUAGUUUAGAUUUAUUGUUUCAGGUAUUUGCUACUUUUCAUUCUUUAGAAAAGUAUAGAGACUUGGAGCAGUCAUAUUACAGCUCAAUUUUGCAUCCUAUUGUUAUAUUAGACUUAUGUUUCAUGUUACUUUUGUAAAGAACAAAGCUAAUUUUCAUAUUACUUUUCACCAUAGAAGUAAAUACGCAAGAAGUAUCAUAAAUGAUUCAUAAACUGAAUGCUACUAUAAGCUCAGAGAGAUCAUUUCAGGUUUGCAUUGUGAAACUAUCCUUCUUUAAACCCUUUGUGACUGGAAUCAAAGUGCUUUCAGUUUGUUCUGGAGCUAGUCUUAGAUCAGCAUCUGCCAUGGCUGAAAUGUUUCUUUUUGGAAGUUUUGGUUGAAACUGUGAACUAGGACUUUGAGGUUCUGAAGAUUAUUUCAGUCCACAGCAAAAGCUCCAGAAGUGUUGUGUACUAAUCCGGAGUGAUAGUUCUGAUGCAAAUUGCGUUUAAAUUUUCAGGACAAUGCUGCUCCAGAAUGAGUCUGUUGAUGAUGAUCUUGAGCACUUUGAGGACAUCAUAGAAAGCCCUGAGGACUUGGCUGUUGCCCCGUCUGGCAACUCAAUAAAUUCAGAUGAACUUCCUACUUCACUUGGUGGCAAAAAAUUGGCGGACUUGGUUCAUGACGAGGAGGAUCAUGAUUUAGAGGUUGAGGUUGGUUGUGAAAAUGUAAGCGAAGGUAACAGAGAAGAAAAUCACACAACCAAUGAGGGGUCAACACUACCUGUUGGGUAUAAUCCGCGGCAUAGGGAACCUUCUUUCUGGUAAUUAUUCUGUCUUUCAUCACUCUCUGUUUGUCUAGAUCUUUUCAAUAGCUGAGUAAAUUUCGCGCAAACUGGACCAGUUUUUUGAUGGAGUCUCGUCCCAAUUUACUGGGCUGAGCCCGUUCUCAAAAGUGUGGCCCUAGAAAAUCGUGGCCUGGCUCAUGUUUUCAGUUUCUUUAACUGACCUUGCCUGGUUUUUGGACUGGGCUAGUGCUUAAAUUCUAUAAAUUUCCUGUCCGGACAAAUUUUACCUCACCAGAUACCUGGCGCAGCUUAGUCUUUUACUCUAAUCUAAUCGUGUCACUUACUAUCAGUCAGAAAAUAUUACUCACAUUAAAAAGAGAAUUAUAUUAUACAUGCCCUUAUAUAAUCAUUUAUUUACAUAUGCAUAUCCCUGCAAAAGCUGAACCUCAAUGUCCCUUCAAAAGCUUAAUUUCUUGUGUAUUUGCUCUUGUACCUAAGAAAAUACUUGUGGAGAAACUUUCUAAUGCAAAACCAGCUUCUUUCAUGAAAUGAAUGACUCCCCAGCCGGAGGGUACGAAACAGCACUAUCAUGGGGUAUAUAUGAAAGUGCAGAUUGCACAAUGGUAUGUAUGCGAAUUGAUGAUUUUGUAGGGAUAUAUAUGUUAAAUUCUCCCCAGUACAGGUCACAAUCUAUGAUUAUAAUCUGAGGUUCUAUUCUCCCUUCUUUCAGUGGCAAGCCUAGUGAGCAAAGUACUAACAGAUGCUUGAAAAUUGGCCGUCUCUUUCUUGCCAACUUAUAAGAGAUAAGCUUGGCUGAUAAGUUUUUUGCUUUAUUCUUUUCCUUUUUUUGACAGCAAUGCCGACCGUGCAAGCUGCUGGGAGCUGACUGCAUUGGCUUCGCACGUGCACCCAUCUGUGGCAACUAUGGCCCGGACACUUCUCUCCGGGGCCAAUAUUGUUUACAACGGAGAUCCUCUCAAUGACCUAUCACUCACUGCUUUUCUUGACAAGUUCAUGGAGAAGAAGCCGAAGGUAAACAGGAAAGCUGAGGGCAUAUGGCACGGUGGUUCCCAAAUUGCGCCGGCACGAAAGGUUUGUCUCUUUUUCAAAACAUUUUUUGAUCAUAUUGAUCCUUUGUGCAGCAGUGUUGAUACUUGAUUCGUUACCCAAAUUCAUUGUUUCAAGAUUCUAAUUCGUAAAGAGAGAAAAGAAAACAAAACAAAGAUUUUUGUAGAAUUUUAUCCUUGUUUCAACUCCCUUCAAAAUCCAAUUGAAGCCCAUAUGCCCCACCUAUUUGCAGAGUCUACCAUUUAUCCUUUUUUUUUUCUUGGAACAUCAACCAACUGCAUGAGGUUGACAUGCUUUAGUACUUUUUAAUUAGAGGAUUGAAUAUGAUUCACAUGUAAAUUGAGAGAGGUGCAUCUAUAAUAUACAAAGAGAGCUUAUUGACUAGUCACCUUCUUUUUCUUUUUUCUUUUUUUCUUUUUCAGUUGAUGUAUUAGAGAGAAUUUAGUUUUUUUUUUUUUAAUUCCUUGUAGCUAGUUUUAUUUAUGUGUAUUAAGCUCAAUAAUUUCAUUGGAUAGUUUCCUUCCAUAACUUCAUUUAAUAUGUCUAUAUCUUCUUAGAUCCCUCGAAUAACUUUCCUCUUCGUCCCUGUUUGUUCACAAACCAAUCUUGGGAACAAUUGUUGAUAUAAGCACUUGGUUUUGAUAUCGAGUUUUGAGUUUUCCAUUGCGGAUGCUCUAUCAUGUGAUCUUUCUCGAUUCUUUGGCUACUGAAUAAACUUAUUGGAAUUUUCAUUGUGACUAAUCCUUCUCGAGUUAUUUAAAUUAAUGAACUGAUUUUUUUUUUUUUUUCUGCAGCUCGACCUGAGCCACCAUCUCAUCGGGGAUGAGAUACUGCAGCUCGCGGAGGAUGAAGUGCCACCGGAAGACGUCGUCUUCCACCGAUUCUACAUGAACAAGACCGGCUCCUCCAAGAGGCUGAAAGCCAAGAAGCAGAAGGCGUCGCUCGAUGACGAGGACGCCGACCUGUUAUUGGACGGGGAUGAUGAGAGUGCCGAAGAGAUUGACCGCAUGCUGGGAUCUGGGCGCAGUACGGUGGAAGAGCCCGAGGGAGAGUACGAUUACGACGAUCUUGACCAUAUCGCCGAGGAGGAUGNAAUAACUUUCCUCUUCGUCCGUGUUUGUUCACAUACCAAUCUUGGGAACAAUUGUUGAUAUAAGCACUUGGUUUUGAUAUCUGAGUUUUUUGUUGCGGGUGCUUUAUCAUGUGAUCUUUCUCGAUUCUUUGGCUACUGAAUAAACUUAUUGGAAUUUUCAUUGUGACUAAUUCUUCUCGAGUUAUUUAAAUUAAUAAGCUGAUUUUUCUCUGCAGCUUGACCUGAGCCACCAUCUCAUCGGGGAUGAGAUACUGCAGCUCGCGGAGGAUGAAGUGCCGCCGGAAGACGUCGUCUUCCACCGAUUCUACAUGAACAAGACCGGCUCCUCCAAGAGGCUGAAAGCCAAGAAGCAGAAGGCGUCGCUCGAUGACGAGGACGCCGACCUGUUAUUGGACGGGGAUGAUGAGAGUGACGAAGAAAUUGACCGCAUGCUGGGAUCUGGGCGCAGUACGGUGGAAGAGCCCAAGGGAGAGUACGAUUACGACGAUCUUGACCAUAUCGCCGAGGAGGAUGAUGACGACCUGCUCGGAGACGGUAGUGAUGCGGAGGCGGGCCCGGCCCCCAAUCAAGAUCGUGAUAAAAAUGACGACGAUGACGACGAAGAUGAUAUUGAUGACGAUGAUGGUGGUCUUGCUUUGUGGGAUGAUGUUGACGAGGAGCACAAUAAUGGCGGCGGCGGCAGUGACGACGAUGAUGAAUAUGGUGAUGCUGACGGAUCUAAUAAAAAGAAAAAGACCGAGGGAAAGAAGCAGAAACUUGGGGGGCGUAGUCGCGCAUCGCCUUUUGCUAGUCUGGAAGAUUAUGAACAUCUGAUGGGCGGGGAACAGGAAAAGACGAAUAAAUUGAAGAAGAAGACAGAGAAGUCAAAAUCGCAAAAGAAGAGGAAGAGAUCGAAAUGAGGAUAAUGUCGAAGAAAUUUGAUGUGUCAUCGUACUUAUGACUGAUUUACCGACCUUUGGGAUCGACACAACGAGAGCAGUGAAGCGACGGCGACAGCAACGACAAGUAACACUCCUUGCGGAGAUCACGUGCGAGUGAUUCCAAAGUAAUUUGCAAUUUAGAAGGUUUAAAUCACAAAUUUGUUUUUCAAAAUGCGCGGCCAUUUGCGGAACUCUCCUACAGUGUAAUCUGUGGUGGCAAUUUUUGUAAUUUUCGGUCGAACUACGGAUAUUUAAACUGGAAAGUAAAUUCCUUCCCAGUUCCUAUAUAAGUUUAAGACGAUGCUGCUGAGUGUUCACCGUUUCAACUUCGUUGAUGUUGAUACUUUGAUGUUCUUCAAUUCCCUUAGUUGAAUUUUUGUACACAAAAACAAAAAAAAGAAAACGGCCCAGAUGAAUAGAGGGUGAUAGAAUCAAAGUCGCUUAUGAGAGCGAAAGAUCCAAGCUUUUAAACCCUUGUUUGGUUGGGGGUUAAGGGGUGAAAUAACCCCUUAACCCCCAUUUUAUCCGCAAACACCCAAAAAAUAGGUGGGGUUAGCUAACCUCACCUAACCCCACCUCAAAUAAAUUAUUCCGGAUUAGCUAACCCCACUUAACCCCACCAAACUUUAACCAAACAUUAUUUUUUAUUCAUAAUAACCCACUAUCUUUCUUAUCACACCUACUCUAACCAAUCAUUAUCCUUCUUUAUCAAUCAUUAUCUUCUUAUCCCACCUACCCAACCAAAUACUAUUUUUUAUUAUUCUAAACUAACUCCAACCCCCAACCAAACACAAAAAAAAUUUUAACUCCACUUUAAUCCUGAACUUAACUCUAUUCCUAGAAUAGCUACUUUUUCCUUAACCCCGAACCAAACGGAUUAUAAGUAAUUGUUAUUGCCACGAGUACCCUAAGUCCCCCAAUAAGAUACUGCCAUGUGGACAUUGAAGGGUUUAUUUGAUUCACUUAUUUUAGACUCUAAAAUCGAAGUAAAUUUGCUGAUUUUGAUAAUUAUUUUUUUUUUACUCUGGAAUAAAAAUAACUCAAUCUAAUUUAUUAGCCUGAUCCAAUUUUAAAUUUUAGAUUGGUUUAUUUUAGAGCAAAUUACUCAAAAUACUCUCCCUUCAUCAUUCUUUUUAUUUUAUCAAAACUCUCUUUUAAAGUUCUAACAAAAUAAAAAUUACAACAAAAUAAUGAAAUUUUAUAAAUAUCCUUGUCUACUGUAGAGAGCUAAGUAAAUUAUUAAUAAUUACAAUUUUUUUUUUGCUGUAUUUAAUCAAAUAAGAUAUAUAUUAGUAUUUUUUAAUUGUAUGUGUGAAAAUGAAUUUUUUUUAUAAAUAAUCCUAUCGAUUUUUAUAAUUAUAAAAAUAAUUUUUUUAAAAAAAUAAUUAUAAAAAUAGACCUCUAAAUGCGGUGAAUGAUUUAUCGCAUUCAUAAUUACUCAUUAGGAGCAGAAAAAGAAUAAAAGUAGUGAACCAUUUACCGCUUUUAUCAUCAUAGAAAUAUAAAAAAAAGGGGAAAAAAAAAAAAAGGAAUGAAUGGUUCACCGUUUUUAUAGGACCAUAUUUAUAAAUAAAAAUUUAACAGAUUUAUUUUUAAAAUAAAAUUUUAGGAAAAAAUUAUUGCACUAAAAAACCCUGCGAAAAUGAUGGGCCACGCGGACCACAAGUAGCCUUUUUUUAAAAAAACAAAAAACAAAAAAAAACAAAAACGUUAUCUUUGACCCGUUGACCGGAUCGGGGGAGGGGUCAGCAGUUUAUUUCCCUGCAUUAUUCCAUGGGCACGUGCAUCACCCUCCGACGAUGAGUGAAAAUAAAAAAAAAUAUAGAAAAAAUAUAAUUUGUCUCGAAUUCGUCUUUGACCAGUUAAAUAAAUAGAGCGGGAGAUGAGAGUUUUUUUUUUUUUUUUGAUUUGUUUCGAUCCGUCAAAAUUUUACGUUUUCGUCUUGAUCAAUCCCGAAUAAAGAGGUAAUGAGGGUUAAAAAUAUGAUAAAAAUUUAUCCACUCCGAAUUCGUCCCGAAUGAUUGAAUGAAUGAGUAAAUAAGGUCGAAAAUAGAAUUAAAAUUUACCUGCUCCAAAUCUACCCCCGAUAAGAAAAGGCGUAGGAGGUGGGAGACCCCUCCCGCGGCCCUGCCUCUGAAUUCAUUCCGUUUGCAUCCCUAUGCACGAUCAUCGGCCGAGGCUCCCCAAACACCAAACAGCCGACCGGCCAAUCCACAUCCGCCACGUGUUGGCCGCCUUCGGAUCCCCAAUUAAGCACGGCCCCGUUUGGCCUCUACUUGAUAUGCAGUCGAGGUCGUGUAGUAAUGCGAGCUCCGAAAUUUUCUGUUCUGAUACAAUAUUAAAUAAUAUAUAUAUUGUCUUUUUUUCGCCUUUAUUAUUUUUCUUUCUCUUUAACCCCUCACUUCAACGUAUGGUACACAUUUAAAUCAUCUGAGAUUAAAUCUCUAAAAAUACGCGCACUCGGAGCCCUAUCCUACUACACACCGACUGAACUAGAGGCUGGUGUGAAAAGUUUAAGUUAUUAGAGAACAGUUAUGAGAUUUACACUGUAUAUACAAAAUAACAUUACAUAAACUAUGUGCACAUAAAAUUAUAACAUUCAUAAAAUAUGAGAGUAUAUUGUAAGAUUUACAUAGAUAAAAAUGAAUGAUGUUCGUCCUUCACUGUUUUAACUAAUAAAAACUUAUUAAUUUUCCGUUACAAGUAUUUUUCAUGAGGCAAUAAUAUUUUUUCUAAUAAUAAUAAUCAUCAUCAUGUAUUUAAUGGUAAAUAUGAAAAUUAAAUUUUAAAAACAUGUAGGAGUCAUUCUUAUGUAUGUAUGGAGAGAAAAAUAAAAGUAACAGAAAACAAUGUAUUAUUUGACUAAUAGUUUAAGAAUUACUAAUAAAUAAUUUACCAAAACUUAUUGUUUUUUAAAGCUCAGGUACCUGAUAUGGCAUAUAUUGAUAUAUAGUUCAUGGAAGGUGCAUAGAUUUUUUACCACUACAAAAUUUAGUAGAACAUUGAAGGAUCAAUGGAGGAUUUUUUUUUUUUUGUUUUUUACCCUAUAAAAGUAGUUUAUUUGCUAAAUUCUCUUGAAUUUGAAUCUCAUUUAUCAACAAUACCUCUCUCCUACCAUGUUAAUGCCAAGUCCAUGAAACAAAAUUUAUAUUUUUUUUUCAAAAAAAGAUAAUAUUAAUUUUGGAAAGUUUUAAAGAAAAAAAUGAAACAUGCAUUCACCAUAUUCCAAAGGUAAAUAGAAGGAAAAGAUAUUUUAAGUAGAUCAUAAAUGUUGAAUUAUUAGCCACAUUUAUUAAGAAGGAAAAAACACAACUUGUAAUGGUUCAUUAUUGAGAUGUCGAAAUUGUUAAUUAUGUUAUUAUUUUGUUAGCAAUUUGUCAAAAAUAGAAAGCUACUUCCCUUUGAUAGGACCAAAAAAAAGAGAGUAAAAGAUAUAAUUAUUUAAUUAAUAAAAAGUCUUUAAUUCAAAGCUAAUAACUAAAUAAAUAAUUUUAUAUCUUUUGCCCAAUAUUCAGGACAUAUUUUACAUGCAUAAUGCAUAAUAAAUAAAAUAAUUCAUUAUGUGAAAAAAAAAAACUCUUUCACACACUCUUUCACUCUCUCUCUCUCUCUCUCAAUUUUUAAAAAAUAAAAGAAAAAGCUGCUUCUUUUGUUUAACACUCAAAUGUGCACAAUGGUCCCAAUUAUUAUAACAAGAAUAUUUUGGAUUUAUUGUUGAGGUUUGAUGCAAUUUUUAUGUUGCACAAGCUAUCAUUGACCCUUAAAUAGUUAAGAAAUAUACUAUUUGUACGCCCAAAAUAAAGUGUGAAUUUUACAUCCAUCAUCUUAGAAUUUAGAAAAUAUUUAAAUAUUUUAGUAUAAAAGAAUUGACAAAUUUUAUACCUUCUGUAAUUUUUUUUUUGAUAUACAAAUAGCAUUUCUCAAUAAGUAAACUUCUGUUGUGGCUCGUACCGCACUGUAAAAAGAAAAAUUUUAUUACCCAGUCGGAAUCUAAGAAUAAUACAAGUGAUAUUAGACGGUAGAUGAAAUACGUCUUACUAAAUCUCGUAUGAUAGAAAUUUUAUUUUAUUUUUCCUUCCGAAUCUAUUUCAAACUUAAAGGAUCAUGUAAUUUGUUUCCCAAUAUUAGCGGUGAUCACACACAUAUUCAGUCAGAGUAUCGCAUAGAAGUAUGUCGUGGGACCCACACCACGACCUGCAGAGACCUUCACUUAGGGAUACAAAUUGGGCGGAUUCGGGGCGGGAGGGGCUCCUAUGUUCUUGGCUGGUCAAGACAGAUUCGGAACAGUUUGGAUUUUAUUUUUUUUUUCUUUCCAUUUAACGACAGCGACUUUUUGGCAGAUCGUGAUCAAUCAAAAAAGGGUUCAAGAUGAAUUAAUUUUUUUUUAAUAUUUUUUUUACUCAUACUUACCGCUCUAUUCAGAAUGAAUAAGAUCAAAAUCUCCACCAGCCCAGAUCCAUUUGCAUCCCUAUCUUCGCUGCCACUCUCAUAAUGGGAAUUUCUUGUGUGGACCCGGUCAACCAGUGUUUGUCUUGCACCUACCAAUCAGGGAUUAUACCAUUCAAAUUUUAGAAAAAUAUGAGUGAUAUUCAAAUCGAUAUUGACAAAAUAGUGCGUCUGAAUAGGACGCGCCUUUCUAAAAACAAAAUUAGAUAAUCUCCACAUAAAUUUCUCACUUGACUUACAUUGCAAUUGCUUUUUUUCUUUACCUUCAACACUAAUCAUGGUUGAACUUUUGCUAUAAAAAAAAAAAAUCGAAACCUCAAAGUUUAAUUACUUUAUUUUAAUUUUAAUAUUAAUUUUAUUAUAAAAUAAAUAUGUUAUAAGGUUAUUAUAAUUAUUAUAGGGUUAGCACAACCUUUUCUCUCAAAUUAAAAAUUUUACCUUAAGAUAAAUAAAAGCAUGACUUAAUGAUUUAAAUUGGAAAUUGCAUUUAAAACCAUCACCAAAAAAAAAGCUAACCGGUCCACAGCUUACGCGGUGCACGUGGUCCACGAAAAAAUCGUUCAUCUCUUCUCUCUCUCACCUCACCAGGCACCGCAUGCUCCUACGAAUCCGGUCCACAGAUCACGUGGUGCGCGUGGUCCACGCAAAAAUAUUCCAUCCUCUCUCGGUCUUUCCACGCACUCACGCUCACACGAAAACCAAUGGAGAAAUUUUUUCGCCCACGAGAAAAUAAAAAAUAGAUAUAAAUAGAAAAUACAUUUAAAAAUUUUAAAAAAUCAAAAAAGGGGAAAUAAAAUUAGGCGAAAAGGGUUCCCACAAAAAUACGCUCACCUUUUUCGUUCCCCCCCCUCACCCACGAAGAGAGAGAAAGGAGAGAGAGAGAGAGAGAGAGAGAGGGAGAGAGAGGGAGGGAUCUGCGCGAUCAUGGCGAGAGGAGGCGCGAUCUAGUCGAACGUANUGGAAAUUGCAUUUAAAACCAUCACCAAAAAAAGCUAACCGGUCCACAGCUUACACGGUGCACGUGGUCCACGAAAUAAUCGUUCAUCUCUUCUCUCUCUCUCCUCACUGGCUCACCACGCACCGCACGCUCAUAGAAUCUGGUCCACAGAUUACGUGGUGCGCGUCGUCCACGCAAAAAUAUUCCAUCCUCUCUCGGUCUCUCCACGCACUCACGCUCACACGAAAACCAAUGGAGAAAUUUUUUCGCCCACGAGAAAAUAAAAAAUAGAUAUAAAUAGAAAAUAAAUUUAAAAUUUUAAAAAAUCAAAAAAGGGGAAAUAAAAUUAGGCGAAAAGGGUUCCCACAAAAAUACGCUCACCUUUUUCGUUCCCCCCCCUCACCCACGAAGAGAGAGAAAGGAGAGAGAGAGAGAGAGAGAGAGAGGGAGAGAGAGGGAGGGAUCUGCGCGAUCAUGGCGAGAGGAGGCGCGAUCUAGUCGAACGUAGAGAGAAAGGGAGGGGUUUCUCUUCUCCGAUUCCGACUCCUCCGACACUCUCCGCUGCGGCCCCCCGAUCGAUUGCCUCCUCGUGCUCCCGGUGUCGGUUUCGGUUGUUGGGUGGGUGGGGGAGGGGGCAGGAGAGAUUGGAUUCGAAAACCCUAGAAUCGAGUAGCGCCGCUCUUGUUUUCCAGGUGCUCUCGCGAUUGACGUUUCGGUCAUGGUUUUGUGUAAAUUUGUGUUAAUUCAUGUAGGGUUCCUUUUUUGCUGCUGAUGAUUCAUUCGAAUUGGAAUCUAGGGUGCGGUUGAAUUGGAAGGGGGGGGGAUUGAAUUUUUAAGGUUUCUUGUCGAAGUGGUCGUGUUUGGAUGAGAUUUACAUUACUAAAUUAAGCUUCUGAUGUAGCAAUAACUUUUUUUUUCUUAGUGCUAAAUAACCUUAGAAAGAGUACUAUGUAGUAAUAAUUUGAUGCGGAAGUGUUAAGUUUGGUGUAUUUGGAAAUUGGAGCAAGGAAGAAUUUAGCUAGAUUUUAUUUUUGGGUUUUCAUAGAAGUUAAUUCCUGUGUAUAUAGCUGCUUGAAUUAAAUGGUUUGAAAUUACGAGUGAUUAAUAUACAGAAUAUGCAGUGGUACGUGUAUUCAUAUAAUUCGAUCUGAAGGAGAGAACUGAGUUGAGACAUUUAAUAGCAGAAGAGAAGGAAAUUGAUUAUGUAAAGACAAAUUCUCAUAACGGCAAGACCUAUGAGGCAUUGGAUUAUUGUAAUUGCUCUCUUAUGGAAAAGAAUUUUGCAAUGUAAUUUUGGAAGAAAGAAAUAGUAGAUGAUACCUGAAAAUAUAGGCUGAGAAAAGAAAAUUAAACAGAACUUGUGCCAAAAAAAGGGUUAAAAUGAAGCACUACAAUAGGAGGAAAAAAGGCGGAGGGGGUGUAGAAAAAAAAGGGAGAAGAAAGAACAGCACAACUAAUUAGUAUGAUGAGGAUUUGUUUUUUCAAACCACAAUAAUUGAGUAGGGAAUCGACAGAGAUCGCUUUUUUUAGUUGCUCGCGUGAUUGCGGUUCCCAUUAAUAGUUCCAUCUAAAUUAUAGCGGCCUGCAGGGGAGUUGGGUGGGUUUAGUGUACUGUCUUACUCUGAAUAUUUCUUAUGGAGGAUGAAGCUAAAGUAGAUUCUUGGAUGCAAACAUGCGGUCAAAUUUUGGCUUUUGAAACUUUUAGAAAAUGAGUUGCUGUUACUCCAGCUAUGAUCAUUCAUCCAUCAGCUGAAAAAGCUACACCACAAAGGAAGUUGCAGGAUGCAACUUUUCUGUUUUCACAUGAGACAUUUUCGCAUAUUUCUAAACUUAUAUUGAGCAAUUGCCUUGCAACAUGUUUAAGGUGUCAAAAAAGCUUAUUGUCUCACUGGUCUUUCAAGUUCUGCUCUUUUUUUAACUAAUAAGCUUGAGCUGCUUCAUUUAUCAAAAUAGCUGAACUUAAGCCAGAAUUUCAAUCUGUUAGCGAAUGGACUGAGCUUAUGUUGGGCUCAACUUCCUCGAGCUUUAUUCCAAAAAGCUCAAUUUUAUAUAGUAGUGGUGGUAUUUUGCGUGCCUACAACAGAACAACUUGUCAUAUUGGUUAUGGACAGUGUUUGUUGAAUUUAGUACUUUACAUUUUGUUGUUUGCUGAUGCUAAGUUUAUGCUUUAUAUUCAUAGCUAUGCUUCAUUACUGAUUGUUGGGUAAUCUAUCUUUUGUUUGAUCAGAUUCUUCUAUCAUCCCAGCCUACUAGUCCUUGGCGCCGAUAACUUUUGGUCAGCUUUAUUGCAAGUUUUGCAUCGCAAGAGGUUUUUGAUUCUUCCGUGAGAUAAAUGUCCAUUUUCGCUCAGUUUUAGCUUAGCCAACUGUGGAGGAGUGAACAGACGCUGUUUGCACUUUACGUUUCUUGUGAUAAGCAGUUAUAUCAUUGAAGUCAUUUAUGUGGCUUCUUUACAAGUGAGUCUAACAUUUGGGCAUCAGUUCACCUCCAUGGAUUUGCCAAAUUCAUUGUGGAAUGUCUUUUUGGAGGGAAAAGAAAGAAUGUCAAAUUGGAGUAUUACCUCAUCAGCUUUUCAACUUAUUUAUGCAUCCUGGAAAUUUUAGGAGUGUGAAGGUUGUUAAUGAUGUCCUUUGAGAGAGAACAAUGGAACAUGAAUCUGAGAAAAGAUUUCCCGCCUGUCCUAAAGAUUACGAAUUGUAUGAAGAAAUCGGAGAGGGCGUUAGUGCUACAGUUCGCAGGGCGCUCUGUAUUCCACUCAAUGAAAUUGUCGCAAUUAAAAUUCUUGACCUUGAGAAGUGCAAUAAUGAUCUAGUAAGUUGGACUUUUUACUUUUCUACGUUAUGGUAGUUUAUGUUUCAUGCUUUAAUAAAUUUUUCUAUUUUGUUGCGUUCUUUAAUAUUAGUAUUCAUGAGAUUUACUGCUUGAUAUGUUUUCUGCAAUAUUAUUUCUUUGAUAAAAUUGUACUUGGAAGUUUUUCACAAUCAAGGCGAUGCUUGCUCUGGAGUUGGUUGCUUUGUAAAUUCUGCAUUCAAAGCCAGAGAUUUUUUUUUUUUCUGAUUGAGUAGAUGAUAGUAUGAUACAGUAGAUUGCUUUAUUCUCAGAAUGCCAUCAGCUGAUUAGCCUGAUUUGUUGUUUAUGAUUAUUUAUUUACGGAAGGCAAGCUUUCUCUGUGUUUAUUCAUUUUUGUGCAUGGAUAAAGCAGAAGUCGUGUUCUUUAGAUGCCGAGGUAAAAUGUACUGUUUGUCCAUGUACUAUUCUAGGAUUGCGACUUAGUCCGUGAACUUCCGACUUGCACAUUUUAGUCCUUACACUUUCUUAUAUGUGCAUUUCCAUCCCUGGCUGUCAAAAAAAAUCUAAAAUUUUAUUUUAAAAUCAUUUUACCCUAUCUCCUAUAAAAUGAAGAUUUAUUUAAGCAUACUUGAAGCAAGGUUAAACAGGACAGUUAUUGGAAAAGUCACAGAUAGUCAGAAUUUUUUUUGCGUCCUAUGAGUAAUUUCAGGGACUAAGAGGUUUAACUAAAAAGGUUUGGGACCACAUCCCAUCCCUUCAGCAUGGAAUAAUACAAAGACUACCUGUACAUUUUUUCUCUCAACAAAAUAUCUAGAAAUUCAUUUAAAUUAGUGGUCCUGAAACUCAUCUUUCUUUCUAUGAAACUGUAUCCUUUUAGAUACAUCACUUAUUUGUUGCAUUACCAUGUCUUUGUAAUACUUAUUUUGUUUUUUUUUUUUAUUUUAUAGGAUGGGAUAAGAAGGGAGGUUCAAACAAUGAGCCUGAUCGAUCAUCCGAAUGUUCUUCGAGCACAUUGCUCUUUCACAUCUGGUCACGACCUUUGGGUUGUGAUGCCUUACAUGGCAGGGGGAUCGGCCCUUCACAUUAUGAAAUUUGCUUACCCAGAAGGUUUUGAGGAGCUGGUUAUCGCAACUCUUUUGCGUGAGGUCCUUAAAGCUCUCGUAUAUCUCCAUUCUCAUGGGCAUAUCCACAGAGAUGUUAAGGUAAUGUUUAGUAAUCUACCUUUUGUAUUUUGUAGAGUCUUUCAAGAGCAGCAGUUUAACAUGUCUGUAAUGGUAACAACAAUUUUAAUAUGAUAUCAUACACAUCUACCAUAAUAUAUGUAAAGCCAAGGAAGUGGCUUUAACUUUUCAAUUUUUGCCACGUUUCAUGCUGUUUUUUUAAAUAUGUGAAUCUUUCUUUCAUGAUUCACUAGAAUGUGACAAAUGGUGCAGGCUUAUUUGCAAUCUAGUUGGAGCUGUUUAUUUACUAUUGUGAAUAGAAUUUAAAGUUAGUCCACUCCUACAGAUAGAAUUUCAAUAUAAUGUAUUCUUAGCUAUAUAAACCUAGUUCAAACAGAACAAUAAAUUAUCAAAUGCCAGUUCAUCUUGAGUUCAACGUCUAAAUCUUGUUCUUUUGGCCGCUCAUCCUACAUGCACAAAAAUCAAAUAUUCCUGCAUUAUCUUAUUUGUUAUCAAAUUUAAUAUCUUUUUAAUUCUUUUAUUUUUAUGAUGCAUGGCUAUUUUACUGCCUCUUGCAUCCUUCAGAUGGUAAUAGAGGCGGUAUAUAGUAAGUGUGAAGCUAUUUCAUUUGUAAUGAAUUUAAAGUUGUCACCUUAAUAUACUGUCCAAAACUUUUCUCUAGAGUCUAGUAUUAAACUUUUCAGUUAUGAACACAAUUUUCCUGUUCUCUCUUUCUUCAGACUUGUGGCUAUAAACUAGAGAUCCCCUGGUCAUAAGAUUAUCCUUUUCAUACCAUAAGAUUGUUGAAACAAUCCAAAAAAAAGCUUGGUGUAUUGGUUCCUAUGACCUCCUGUUAUGUUAUCAGGUGGACUGAGAAAGGGGAAUUCUUUUCUCCGUUUUUUUGACAUUUCUGACCAAGUUAGUCUGAAACAUCUGAAUACUGAUUGCGUCCCUUCAUUCUCUGUUUGAAAAUUUAUAGAUGCCCUAUAUCCUACCAAAGUGUUGGUAGCCUUUUUGCCACCUCAGAUACUUUUCUGCUUAUCCACUGUCGCACGUACUCAACCUAUCUCAAAUUUCCAAGAAUCUCUAGCAUAUGUAUGUUUUCUUUCAUUGUAUCAUGUUAUUAAGCCAUUUGUACAGAGAAUAUAUUUAGGGAAGAUUUAUUUCUAGGAUUAUUAGAGAUUAUUAUAGUUGCUUUAAUCUAGUUUUAAAUUAGACUAUUUAUUUAUGUUUUGUAGAUGUUAGAGCAUGCAUACAUAUAUUCCUGCUCCACUUUAUAUGCUAACAGGAACUUCUAAAUUUCUGAACUUUCCAGGCUGGGAAUAUACUGAUUGAUGGCAAUGGAGCUGUUAAACUAGCAGACUUUGGGGUCUCAGCUUGCAUGUUUGAUACUGGUGAUAGGCAGCGUUCCCGAAAUACAUUUGUCGGAACUCCCUGCUGGUGAUUGCUGCAACUUAAAAUUUGCAUAUCUUUUAAUUAAUUACAGAUUUAGUCAAUGAAGUGCAAUUCCAAUUUCAGUUUCCUUCGCAAAGUUUGACUUCCAUGUUAAAUUUCAUCCACAGAGUCUCAACUUUAACAAUUUAGUUACUGAAGUUUGAACCCAAUCUUUAUUAAGCCCUCAAAGUUUCUAUUUUGACGAAGGAAUUAAUUGUAUUGCAUAACAAACUUCAGGGACUAAAAUUUGUUAAUAACCCUUUUUUUCUAUUUCCAAUCUGUAUUGCUGUCCUUCCGGCAGUUUUGUUGAUCAUUAUGACAAUUUUGUUUGCAGGAUGGCUCCUGAAGUUAUGCAGCAAUUGCAUGGUUAUGACUUCAAGUGAGUGGGUGACUAUCUAAUUGCGACAUCAUGAGUUUAUUGAACAAGAAGAUGUUCAAUAUCUGUUUGACAAUAAAAUUUUUCACCUUUUUUCCCCUCCCCUUUUCUUUGUGUAUUAUAAACAGAGCAGACAUUUGGUCAUUUGGCAUAACGGCGUUAGAGCUUGCCCAUGGUCAUGCUCCAUUUUCUAAGUAUCCCCCAAUGAAGGUGUGUUUCAAGAAAUGACCACCUAAAGCACAUUUGUCAUGUUACAUCUCUUUUUCCGGUAACAGCAAUAGGCAUGAUGAUUUGUCAUUUUAGGUCUUGCUUAUGACGUUGCAAAAUGCACCACCAGGUCUGGACUAUGAAAGGGACAAGAGAUUCUCAAAGGUUGAUUUUCUUUAGUUAAUUUUUUAAAUUAAAUUGAGCAGUUUAUUUACACUCCUGGCAAAAUCCAUUUACAUAAACUGCUGCAAAUCUGGACUUUUAAUAUAUGCAUUCAAAGACCUUUUUUUUUUUCAUUAUAUCAUUUAUGUCUUGUACUUACACAAAUGUUUUUGAGAAUUGGCUUUUUAAAUAAUGCAAAACCAACAUAUCCCAUGGAUUGGAUUACCCUUCAACUUAAAAUGGGGUUACUUUUGUAACAAGCCCCAUAUUUGAGGGGUAUACAUAAAGAUUUUUUUUACAGGGCUGGACAUGUAAAUAGGUGAUUUUGCAGGGGCCGGGGAUAUAUAUAUAUAUAUAUAUAUAUAUAUAUAUAUAUAUAUAUAUAUANCAUUUGUUUUCGAUGAUGGAGCCUCCAAAUCGGCGAUCGGUACCGUUGAAAAUGAUCUAUACCACUUGAAGUAUCUAGAAAUUAAAUUUUAUGCUUUUUCGAUAUUAUUCUCUUGUUCAUCAAGUGGGUGUAAAAAUGAACGGCUGAAAAUGAAUAUCCUCUAAAAAGUGAUGAUAGGAAUUUUGUAAUCAAGAUCGAGAGUAUAGAUCUUGCUCUAAAUAGUUUAAAGAAUUUUCUAACAAAAAUUCAAUUGAUUUGGAUAGUUUUACACCGUUAAACGAGAAAACGCCUCAUAUCAACCAUUAAAAUUACAAAAUUUGAAACCCUUUGAUCAUUAGGUCAAUGAUGUCGAAAAGAUUUGAAAUUUGAUUUUUAGAUACUUCAAGUGAUAUAGAUCAUGCUUAACGGUGCCGAUCGUCGAUUUGAAGGCUCAUCAUCGAAAACAAGUGGGUGGUGGCAACGGAGCCCGUUUGCUACUGAUAGCAUUCUAGCUUAGCUCUCUCUAUAUAUAUAGGCUAGGGCUACUAUACUCUUAUGAGUAUAGAGCCCUUCGUACUCAUAAGUUGUUUUCGAUGAUGUGGCUUCCGAAUCGACGAUCCACUCCGUUAAAUAUGAUCUAGAGUAUUUGAAACUUCUAGAAAAUAAAUUUCGUAAUUUUUCGAAAUCAUAAUAAAGUCCAUCAAGCGGGCAUAAAAUGAAUGGUCAAAAUCGAACGACAUCCUAAAAAUGGAUGAUCGGAUCCUUCAAUUUAAGAUCGGAGUUAUUGAUUUUUAUCUAGGUAGUCAAUAUAAUUUUCUAUCAAAAAUUCAACCUAUUCCAAUUCUUUUACACCAUUAAACUAGCAAGUAUCCCAUACCGGCAGUUAAAAAUUGUUAAUUUGUGAGCUUUUUGAUUGUAAGGUAAAUGAUAUCGAAAAAUUAUAAAAUUUGAUUUUUAGAAGUUUUAAAUGUUCUAAAUAAUGUUUAACGGUAUGGAUUGUCGAUUUGGAAGCUCUAUCAUCGAAAACGACUUAUGAGUACGAGAGCGAUUGUACUCAUAAGAGUAUAGUAGCCGGACUCUAUAUAUAUAUAUAUAUAUAUAUAUAUAUAUAUAUAUAUAUAUAUAAGCCCCCUUAAAAUGUUUACUAUAGAAACAACUCGGUGAUUAUUGUGAAGUAACAUUACAAUGCAGUCUUUCAAGGAUCUGGUUGCUACAUGCUUAGUAAAGGAUCCAAAGAAGCGACCCUCUUCAGAAAAGUUGUUGAAGCACGCUUUCUUUAAGCAUGCUCGUUCAAAUGAAUAUCUAGAGAAGAGUAUUCUUGACAACCUUUCUCCGCUUGGUGAACGUUUUAGGAUGUUAAAGGUUUUAACUACAAUCGCUAUUCCUCUAGUGAGAAGAUCUUGGGAUAAUUAUUUUUUUAGUCUGAUAACUUCAUUUACAGAGUAAGGAGGCUGAUUUCCUAUUACAUAACAAGGGUUUACCUGGAGAAAAAGAACAGUUAUCUCAGGUAUAUUACUUGAAGGUUGCUAUUAUCUUAACUUUUCUUUUGUUAAUGUAAUUUUGUUGUUUUCACAUGAUUCUGGAUUUUUACUUGUUUUGGAAAUAAAAUUGCUUAGUUACUAAUGUGUCCUACCUAUCUCAUACCUACCACAAAGAGUGCAGUAGCAAAUUGAUAUAAUGUUAUUACAAACAGAGAAAUGUUCUGGUGAGUUUUUACUGCUGGAAAUGCGAGUUUUGAUAGGAUUUUUGCCUGUCAAAUUUCUGAUUGUUUGUGAGAUUGACUGCAAAUAGUGGCAACAUUUUGUAUUUGUUCUUUUUGAUUAAAUCACAGAUUUUAUUUGCAGCGAGAGUAUAUACGGGGAAUAAGUGGUUGGAAUUUCAACCUAGAGGACUUGAAAGCUCAGGCUGCCCGUGUAAGGAAAUCCAUUUUCGCAUUAGUUUUACCCGAGUUCAAAAGAUUCGAUGCUUAGUGUGCUUAUGGAAUAGCUUCUAUACUUUGAAAAGUAGCCCUCAGUCGUUAGGCAAACAAAAAAUCUUAAGGUUUUUAUGUGGCUGAGAGCUGCUUCUGAGCAUCAAAAGCAGAAACUUCAAUUUGUAGCUUAUUCUUUUGCCCAAACAAACUGUUGAGUGGAUCUGAAUGAAAAAGCUUAUAGUGCUUUUUCACAAAGCUCUACUCAAACAAUAUCUCCAUAACCUUGAGCUAAGCUGAACAGGCCUUUUAAGAAAAAUGAUCCGUUGGAGGAACAUGGCAAUUAACUGUUUUUCUUUUGACAUGAACUUUUGCAGCUAGAAACCUCAGAUGGUGCCCUCCCUUCAGAAGAGGUAGAUAAUAUUUCUAACACCAAGGAUGCCUUUGAUGAAGCUGAUAUUCAGCAGCAAAUUCGUUCAUCAGAAAGUGUUAACAAUUCUAGCUCUGCAACUUCUCCUGAGGUAUUCAAUUCCUGUAAUGCUAUUACUCUGAACCUUCAAUUAUUCCAGUUCUUGCUAUUCAGUAGUGCAGAUCUCACUUGAUAAUUAUUUAGGAAAUAUUUAGAUAUGUACUUCUGCAAUAUUAUUAAUUACAAUAAAUAUUCCUACAAAAACUGCAUUUUAUUAAAUGCCCUUUUAAAUCAUUAUUUCUUACAAACAUAUCCUUAUAAUUAUGGAAGUGCUGUUCUUUAAGAAGUUUUUUGUAGUACACAACAGUAUGAUAAAGGAAUUCUUGUAAGAAACUGUAUUUUCAAGGGGUAUAUAUAUGGCCAUCUUGAUUUUACAGGAGGUUAUAUGUAAAUAGCUGCUUUUCUGGGACAUUCCUAUAUAGGUCUUUUUCUAGAUGUUAUUAUACUUCUGAUUCUCUCAGGUAGACAUACAAGAUAUUCAAGAAUUGGAGGGUCCAUUUGCCUCUGCAUUUGCAAGUCGUCCUCUUGAGGCACUCAAGUAUGGUUUCUUUACAACAGAUCAGUAUUAGUUUUUGCAGAUUUUCUUCAUGCGAAAACAUCCUUGAUUGAAAUCUCCCAUGUCAGAGACUAACUGGAAUUGAACCCAAAAAAGGGGAGAAAUUGGGCUUUAAUAUUGCAGAAGUUUCUCUAGAUGUUUAGGGAACUGCUGAUUUCUUUUAAAGCGUGUUGCUCUUAGAGAAUGAUUCUUUAGUACUUCACUCUGAACCCUUGCUCUCAUGUUUGGCCUUGAGACAUUUAAUAGAAGCUGAAAACUUCAUGCUCGGCCGCUUUGAUACAUAUAAAAGACACUCAAUUAUCCCACUGCUAGUAUUAGUAACUUGAAAGGCCCUUAACCACGUGUCCUGAAAAGCUUUAGCUUAAAAUACUAAUACUAGUAUCAUAGUCAUUUCAAAAAUCAAAUGCAUUAUGCUAUUAAAUUUUAUGUGAGACUAUUGAGGUGUGACAUGUUAUCUAAAACAAGCGACAGUGGCUGCACAUGAUUAGACAAACUCUUUUUGAUCAUCGUUGAAGUCAAAGAUAGUUAUCAUAAAAACUUUCCACUCUAUUUGUUUCUUCAUUGUAGCCACAAGUCAGUCUUUUGUUAGGUCAGGUUGAUUUUAUAACAGUUUGUAUCUAGCAAAAACAUGGGCCUAGCACAUUUUGAAAUUGGUAACUGAAGUACUCAACCUUAAGUUUUUUAUUUUUCUACUUAAGGUACUUCUGAAAUAGUUAUCUGAACCUCAAAAUAUUUCCAUUUUAUUACCUAAUCUUGUACAAUUUGUAAUUUGACGGAAUAUUCUACUAUAGUUUGACGGAAUUCGUUAAGUUCAGAACAGAAUUUUCUGAAAUUGAAAGUGGUGAAAGAUUCGGUAGUGAAAUCAAAACUUGUAGGUUCAGGUACUAAUUUUGAAAUCCACUAUAUUUCGGAACUUCAGAUUAGGUCUCUAUGUUCCAACAGCUUUUUUAUGAUGGAAGAUAGCUGUUCGGAACAACUGGUAAUUACAACUUAUUUUUACGAUGCAGAUCUUGUUUUGAUGUCUGCGAUGAUGAGACCGAUGCUAACAGUCCUAUAUUAAAAGCACAUUUAAACUCAGAAUCCCGGUUUCCUUCAGAACAAUCAUCCCAGCUAGGGGAUUUGAGGGCCGCCAAGUGUAAUGGUGAUAACUUGGAAAGGAGUGUUUCCGUGCCCACGAAUAUCAGUGUUCUUGGAUGCCAGAAAUUCUCUAGCGGUUCUCUUCUCCCAGAGCAUGUUCUUUCUCCUUACAGGAGAACUUCUGGGGAUACUGAGAGGUAGUACUGUAAUUUGCAAGAGCUUUCACUUGUUUUUAAAUGUUAACAAGCUAUUAUGUUUGUUAAUUGCUGUUAAGUUUCAAGUGCUUGGACCUAGAUUCGUGUUUGCCAUUGUUUGGCGAAAGUACGGUCCUGUGCCAACAUGGCAGCACACACUUCAUGCCACUUGCACCAUAAACUUGUGCUGGCACAUUUUGGCAACAAUAAGUUCUGCUUGUUCUUAAAUGUGCUUUUAUCAAGAUCUUUUGUACUUAUAUUGUUGUAAUUUUUGCUAGUUUCAAAGAAACUUCUUAAACUAUAUAUGCAUUUUAUUGUGUUGAGGAUUAACUCCAUUUGCCUUUUUCUUAUUUACCAAAGGGAUGAGUUGCAUCGGAAACACCACAAUGAAAGGAAUCAUAGUGGCCCUCUUUCAUUCCGUCAAAUGAGAGAUGCACAAGGUAUCGUACACUGCCACCAACCACCCCAUAACCCCAAAUGUUUUUUUGUACUUAUUUACUUUUAAUAAUUGAUAUCAUAAAGAAUGAUGUUAUGUGUUCCUCAGAAUGCACAUCAAAAUAUUAUUGAUGAGUCAGCUUUAUAUAUAUUGCACUUAGUAGCUGGCUUAGUAUUUUAAAUUUCAAACAUAACAUCUGACUGGAUAUCAGUACUGGAAAAGCCAAACUACUCAAUAGCUACUACGUGUGUCAAGCUGACAAAUUAAUGGCAUUUUAGAGUACAUUCUGAGGUACCUGAAGCAUCAUUCUAUUCUUAACAUACUAAUACUGCUAUGGCAUGAUGAUAUCAGCACAACAGGAACCAUCAGAGGAGAAAGUUGUUCAGCGUAGGGGGAGGUUCAAGGUUACAUCAAGUGAUGUUACUCCAAAGGUGCUUCAAUAUGUGUACUGAAUAAAACAAGUGGAAAAGUAGCACAAUAAUUAGGGCAUAAAAUGUCUUUUCUCUUCUCUGUUGCAGCUAGACUAAGUUGCGCAUAAAGACAGUAAAAGUAAACUUGUUCAGAUUUAUAAAAAAUCACAAAAGUUAAAGAAAAUUUGGUUAAAGUUAGAAAUGUAGGCCGACAUUUUUCUUUACAUGAAAAUACAGCUCUAUAGAAGGAAUGAAAAAUGAACAUUUUCGACAAGUGUUGCUCCUUCCAGACCUGCAAUAUGCUAAUGGCUUUAUUAAAGUAGUGUCCUUUCUUUAAAGCUAAUGGUUUUGGAGAAUAUAAUUGUGGUUUUCUGAAAUUUUGAAGAUUCAGAAGUGGCCUUAAGAUUUUACAUUAAAUAUUUUUGAAUCUUCAGAAAGGACGCUCAUAUUGGAGAUUUUCCUGCAAAUUUAUGUACUUACGAGAUGAAACUGCCAGUUUUAUUGCAUUAAUAAAAAUCUCAGUAAAAAAGAAACAUAAUAAUUAUUUAGUCACAAAGAAACCUAAAGACCUUUGCCAAUUAGGUUGCUUUAAUCAAGCAUUUUUGUUUCCUCUUGAAACUAAUUUCUUUUUGACAUUUACAUUCAUAUAAAAUGUUAUAGAAAACUCAAAUUCAAUAAAGCGAAUUCCAUAAGAUUAGAAACUUACAUCUUUGUUUCUUUUUCUCUGCAUAUGUUAUCUGAUUUCCUAGGUAGCUUCAACAGCAAACAGCAAGGCGGACCAAUUCAGUGGAACACCAACAAGACGUACACUAAACGGUCCUGCUCUUCUUCCACCGUUGCAAUUUUUAUUGCAGCAAAAUGCUAUGCAAAGGGUAUGCUGGAAUUGUUUUUAUUUUCAAGUUUCAACGAACAUCUUGUUAGUUGUUACCUUAUCGUUUCACCAUUUUCUUAUGUUGUUGGCAGGAGCAACUUCUUAAAUUGAUGGCAUGUGUCGAGCAAACAUCUGGUACACAAUUCUUUGUUUUGCUAUUCGAUAGUCUUGUUUCAGUUGCUUGAUAUUCUAAUUUGAAAUAUUGGCUUGAAAUAGGCUUCCAUUCAGAAGUUUCCGAUGCAGGAACUAGUGAUUCAUCACAGGUAUAUACAAAUUGAGUACUUUCCCGUGUUUUUGCUAGCAAGAUGAGCAGUUAUAUAUUUAAAUUAAUUGUAGUGAAUUCAAUGUGUGGGGGGGGGGGGUUUAAUAGCCAAUAAGUGGGAGAAAAUUACUAGCAAUUCUUUUAAUAAUUGUGAAAGAUAGUUGUUUUUCUUUUAAUUACUGUCUAUGAUGUUGUAAUGCACGGACUUUAUAAUUGCAUAUUGGUCCCCACAGAAAUAAAACUAUUGGAUCUGGCCCUGCUUAUUGGCUAUUGUAACAUGCUAACCAGAGAAAGUAACAGGAUAGACGUCACUAUAAAUUCAAUUUAUUUUUGCUGGCUUUUGAUCAUCUGGAUAAACUUCUGUCAUAUCACCUUUUAAUAUGUAAAUAAAAUUUCCAAGCUUUUUUGCUUCGUGACUUACUAUCUUGUAAAAUGUGACACCAAAUCUUGACGAACCUCUUUUCUUUUCUGAGUGCAGUGGUAGCCAUCUUGUGGAUGUGGUAAAUCAGUUUUGUUCUCUCUUAUGUGUAUUGUAGCUCUAUUACCUGUUUAUUUAAAGACCUCUCAAAGAGCAGAUAUUAGAAUACUCAGAAUCGUUCAUUUAUACUCGGUUAUUCAGACUCUCACUCUAUCAGUUGAAAUGUUGCAAUUUUGGGUCUAAUAACCUCGAAAUUGUUUGCAGUUGUGUCAAGCAUCUUCAAGGGAAAAGGAGCUACAGGCUUAUGUGGCUCAUUUGGAACAAGGGUACAGCGUCUUUCCAAAUGCAUAGUAUCAUUUUUAUUCUUUUUUGGGGUAAAAUGUAGAUAUUGCUAUUGGUUCCUGUAGUCAAGCAUUGUAAUCCCGACUUGUCACAUUUAUUGCACUUUAGUACUUUGGCUGUUAAAAAUCUAGACUAUUGUUGUAAGAUGACCUUUUUAAUCUGGUUUGAAGUUCAUGCAAUAAGUGGGUUAUUUACAGAAAGGAUAAAAUGACCAUUUUAUAAGAAAAAGAUAUCUUUUGACGGCCAGGAGUUGAAGUGCAAUACAUGUGAAAGUUUAGGAACUAAUUUGUUUGAGUGCAGGAGAUAGUACAGACCGUCCAUACAUUUUACCCUUUUCUUGUUUUAAUUACCCGAAGGACUAAAAUUUGUCACCAUUUCAGCAUUAUGGAACUUGCCCAAGAGGUGCAGAAGCUAAAAACGAAGAACACUCAGGCAAGUUUUCAUGCGAUAUUUUCUGGCUUUUUUUUUUACAAUUUAUUUAUAGUUUUUUCUCUAGAAGAGACGAUAGAGGGUUCAUUUAAACAAAUAACCCCUUUGUUAUUGUGUGCAUUUUCACUUCAUUACCCUGUUGCUUCAUUUAUCCCACCGAACUCUUCCAUGGUUGCUAUUUCUUUGCCGUAUGGACCUUCCACGCACAUGGUGUCACAAACCGACAAAAUAAGAGCCAUGGCCUUUGUUUGCCAUUUCUAACCUACCGAUAGUGACCAUAUGAUCGGUAAGUGCAGCGAAUGAAGCCACAGGUUAGUGAACUACAAACGUGCUAAACAACAUAAGGGUAUAUUUUGAGAGCUCAGCAAUACCUGUAUUUUCCAUUAGCCGUUUGGUGGACAUUUUAUGAGGAAUGCACGUAUUCACAAAGAUAUCACUGGUACACAUUUAUUUCCUACUCUAGUGAGAGAUGGACAGCUGCUCCAAAGUCGACGCCCCAGUUUGUUUGAAUUGAUUAUCCAUAAUGAUUGAUGUGCUCGAGAGUACGUGUUUGCCAUGGGCUGUUCGUUUAUGUGAUUCUCCAUAUCUAAAUUGCAAUAGUAAGCUAUUCCUUGUUUUACAGCUAGAGCGGCAGAUCAAUGCUCUGACCAGCAAGGAGGAUAGGGUGCGGCGGAGAUAAAUAGGCAGCACGAGAAUGAAAAUACCAUCCCGUAGAAGACACGGCGCGCCAGAUGCUCGCGGCGGAUUCUGGUAUGUGUUUAUUCAGCAACUCCGGCCCUGUUUGGAUCCUCGUCCGUCCAUGUAAUAUCCUUGCAAUUUUGAACGUUUGUGUUUGUGGAGAUGCUUCCGUGUUUGUUUUGUUUCCUAACUUAAAAAAAAGCAAGUAGCCGACGGUCUCAUAUGUCGAUUUAUCUGUACAGCAUGGUGGGUCUUUGUUUAUAAAGUUGGGGCAAAUGCUUGUUUAUAAAGUUGGGGCAAAUGCUAUUGCGAGAUUUGCGAGCGAACGAAAACUACAUUUGUGCACAAUUUUAGCUUUUGAAUAUAUCUUAUUGCUUCCACGAAUCCCCCUCCUAAUCCUGGUAUCUUCCAUGAUACUUAUCCCUAUAAUAUAGGAGACGACGGUGAGCGUAUUUGAUUGGUGGCUUGUUGAUGUGGGACUUGAUUAUGCACGGGCGAUAGCACAUUCUGAUUGUUUUUUGUAUCUAGGGCUGCAAAUAGUAGCAAAAUGAUGGAGCUUCCAAUCUCAAAUAGCAAAUAGGGCAGUAGGCAGGAACUAAAAACUAUAGGAGAAAAAGAAAGAUAACCACUCGGAGCAGAUACGAAAAUGAUCCCUUUUCUCAUCAGUCAUGCUUGGCUGAAACUGUCCCCUACUCGGACCAAACACGAAUGGAACAGUCAGCGAAGGCGAAAAAACAGCAUUAAAAACAAACAAUACCCCACAAAAAUCUACGAUCCGCAAGACGGUGAUCGCACAACACCGCGGGACGCCCAUCUAAAGCACGCAGUCUGAGAAACGGUGCAUACUUGUACCUGACAUUAUGAUUACGCAAAAUCGGACCAAUCGCGAGCCAACUCUCCCAUCUCCCAUCCAGAGAAGAGUUUCUCCUCACAAAAUUUAGACUUCCACCCCAUAUUAUCAUCACUACUACUAAAACUGCAUUGACAAACAGAAAAAAAAACAAGCAAUAGCAGCAAGUCAUAUGUAUACAAGGCACUCAGUUAUCUCUACAGAUAAUACAACCAUGCGUAGGGCAAAUUCCAGACAACUGCGGCUGACAUUUUCACAGUAUCAUAUUAUCCAAGGCAAAAAAUAAAGGCAUAUCAUUUGCAGGGGGGGGGGGGGNGGGGGGCGAACAUUCACGCUUUUAAUGGAAACAAACCUCGAAGAGUUAAAUCUACGGUAAUGCAUAAUAACAGCUCGUUCUUUACGGAGUAGUUCUAAAUAAAACAUAACGCAAAGAAGCUGCGCCGAGGAAGCAGUAUCCUUUUUCGACGAGGGCGGAAAUCUUAGUGCCCGUAUUUCUGGAACUCCCAUUCGCUGUUGUCUGUGUAAACACACGAGAAGAAAAGGAGAGUCAGAUGAAUGGAAAUAAUACGAUUGCAUGGGGGCCUUACACCAGACCUACAGCACAUAUUUUUGAAAUUAGUGCACCAAAUUUGAAAUAUUCAAAUUCUUUACUAUCCAACUGCCAUGAAGUGCUUUGGAAGUAGAUACCUGGACUCUCUGAAAGUUUAGGAUCUACUACCAUACCAUAGAUUAUUUGUAAGAUUUACGAUAAUCUUUUGUUAGAUUACACAGUACUCCACCAAAAUGUUACAAUUACUGUUUGCUGGGUCGUUAAAUCAAAAUUUUCAAAGACCAGUUAACUAUUUCAGUAAAAUCGUACAUUUGGGUUGUAAAAUCAAAAUAUUUGAAGUACCAACUUCAAAAUAUGCUAUAGACCAGGUUAAGUCUGGAUAUUUUUACCAAAAAUAAACCAGACAUAUAUAUAUAUAUAUAUAUAUAUAUAUAUUCUUUUUGGAGGAAGAGCAGGAACAAGGAUAGCUAACCCAGUGGGCAAACUUGGCGAGUUUUGAGCCACCGGCUGAUGCAGUGGAAGUGGAAUGCGUGAUUGCAUACGCCUGUUUUUCAGUACGACAUUGCGAAGGUCAAAACAAUUUCGUCAAUCUUUAUCAGGAUCAGUGGAGAAAAAUCAUCAAACAAGAAAACAAGAAAUAUUUCCAUAGACGAUUAAAAUAUCCCAUAAAAAAUAAGCCAAAAUAUUCUGUUUAAUCCAUCAAAAACAGAUAUAUAAUCCUAUUAAGCGUGAGUGUAUUUUCUCAAUGUUCAAUUUUAAAAAAAUGAAGCCUUAAACGACCUACAGUUGGAGAUACUGAUUGUAUGUUUUCCCAAUUUAAAAUUCAAUUCUUAAUGGUGCAUGGUGACAGUUACAUUAAUUACUUUAUAUUAUGGUUUAAAACUCAUAUAAUAGGUCCAAAACAAUUGUUCCUAGCUCUCGAUCUAUAUAAUAUAGCACCAUAAUUUAAGACCGGCUCAUCAACUUGUACAUGAUAGUUGCUAAGGAUACAUUGGACUGUUAGGCAAAGUAAACUUUACAGCAGAUUAGACACAAUAAGUGCCGUGCAUACCACGUCUACCUUCAAAAAGGCAACAGUAUAGAACCUCGUCAAAAGACACCAGACACACAUACACGAUUACUAGGUAGAAUCACUAGGCCUAGUUUGGAUGUUGGAAUAAGAUAUCCAAUUAUAACUCAUACAGUAUGAAGACUUUCUAGUGUGAUUGGAAGCAAGGAGUUUAAUUUUUGCCCCUUGAAAGGUCAUUGCCAUCCAUGAUUUGGUAGGAUAGCAUAUUUCAUUUUCACCCAUGAGGUGAUUUAUCUUAUUCCAAGAAAAUGGCUUGAAGGUCAAAUAUGGUACCCAUUCUAGACAUUUGCUCGUACUCCUUAUCAAACAAAUAUCACAUGUCACGAGUAAAUUAAAGAGAGAUUCUGAAUAAAAUAUUCGUGCAUCCAACCAGGGCCUAAAGCACAAUUCCGUUUCACUUGGUUAUUUCAUGUUAUCUCAAUACUAUGACAACAUUCUGCCAAAAGCAGUUAGAACUUAUGAUUGUAUCACAGCAACAAAAUGUGACAAGUUAGGCUAGACAUUACUCAAAUGAGGACGCGAACAUGGGUACAUGUGAUAAUGCAUAUGAGAGGAAGAAGUGAACUAGUAUGCAUAUGACAGAGAGGAAGAUCUAUGUUACUAAUGAAAAAAAUAAUACGAAUAACAAGAUUGAAGGACUGCUUACCAAAACAAGGUUUCGCUUGGUUAGUAGGUCCCGUGGAUUUACAUCUCUGCUAGACUUGAACCACAUUGAAUAUUCUAAAAAAUCUAAAAUCUUAUAUCUACAACCGGUCCAUGGGGGCUUACAAAUUCAGGUUAGAUCCAGGUGGAGAUCUAAGAAGGACUAAAUUGUGACCAAGUAAUCAGAUCUUAGUGAUAACUCCAUUUUCAGCCAUGGACUGUCUAAUAUUAUCCUUCAUCCCAUCUAUACUUUCGGAUUGCAAUACCUGAUUAAUUACAGCCUUUUAUUGAUUUACAUUUUUUUCAACAACAAGUGACCUUUGAUGGUCAAGUGCAAGAUGGGAUAGAGCAAGGAUUUAAGUGCCGUGGCACGGGAUCGUGCCAGAAACUUGCUUGCACGGCACGGCACGGUGCGUGCUGGUACGUGCCGAUGCGUGCUGGUCACAAAAAAAUUCUUGUGUGCAGACACAUAAUAGCAUGAAAUAUUUAUUUUCUUUAGCAACAAAAUAGUUUAACUGUUUAUUAUGUAUUUUUAUCAAAUCUUUUGAACUUAAUUGAUAAAAUUACUUAUUAAUUUAAAGAAUAGAGAUUUGAACUGUGUCAUCGGCACGGAGGCUAUAUCGUGCCAAUAUCUUGUUGGCAUGAUACGGCAUGGUAGAUAUAGCCCUUGCAAUAGGCACCUCAAUCCUUGGGAUAGAGGGCAAAAGAAUGUGUAAUCGACAACCUAUGUGAUGGCUAUCUUCAGGUAAUAGUAUCUCCUCUGGAUGUGCUCCUUCCAAAGCCUUCUCCUUCAUUGUCACAGCUAGUAAGGGUAGCUAACUAAUUCACUGGUGCAGUAUAGCCUAUCCUUAAUAAGCAUGUGUCCGCUAGAUUUCCUAUAUUGCCAGAUAGCCAAUCUUUAAUAAGCAUGAGUGAUGGAGUGCCCUAGAGCUCUAAUAUUGCCAUAUUGCCAAUCUGUAGCAAGAAAGGCUACAAAUAAUUGGGCAAUGGGGGAAUGAAAGAAGAGAUGGGUAAAUUACCAGGAUCGCAGACUUACCUACCAUCUUUCAGGAGCCAAUCUGUAGUACAUACGACCUAAAUUAUAAUCAAAGUAUAAUCAAAGUAAUUGUCCAUAUCUCAGAUCUACAAAUUCAGAUUGAUCAACUACAACAGCUGCAUCUAUCGUCGUCUUUUUCUCAACAAUUGAGAAAUAUCAUGAGAUAUCAAAAGUUCUAAUUCAACAAAAACUUAGUGCUAAUAAUGACGACUUUUUAAUCAAUAUGUUGUUGUUCAAAACUAAAAUCUCAGACAGAACAACCACAGCAAAUGCAUUUAACUUAUUAUAAACUUACAAAGAUAUAAAGAUAAUUUUGUUCCUCGAAAAGGACAAAAUAUAUUGCACUUAGAACACAAAGUUAGUACAAGCUCCAAGCAGUCAAGCAUUUAUGGUUCCUACAAAAAACAAACUGACUAUAUCUCAAGAUUCGAGAACAUAACUGUUAAGCAUGGGAUAUGUAGCAGAUUAACAAAGGAAAGGUAAAAGGAAAACAUGUCCCAAAAUGAUAUUUUACCUCUAAGAAUUAGCUCAUUCUAAAGUAUAGCUAUAGAUUAAUAGAGGGUCCUUACUAUCCAUUUUCUCCUGAUUUCUUGUAACCAAUCCAUCACAAAAUGCUCAAUUAAGUGCACAAAGAAACACAAAUAAAGUGGGGCAGAAUAGUCAUAUUAAUCAUUCAAAAAGCAAAUCUAGCCAAGAUUAUAAUCUACAAACUAUGAGCUAAUCUUAGCUGCUUAUUUUCAGUUACUUUUAUGACUAACAAGCCACUUUAUGACACUUCUAUUUCAGAAACAUUGAUGAGAAGAUGCAUCUAUAAAUUGCCUAGAAGUGUCAUCAUCCAAAUAGCGGCAACGUUAAUCAACAAAAGCAAGACACAUAUAUGUAUGAGAAUACCAUAACCUAAUCUAAUGCAGCAGAAUCUAAAAAAAAAAUCCAAAAAUUAAGCUUCUAAUUAAUAUAACGUUGCAUACCCCAAGCAACCGUGCACUCCUCGCUCGUCGCACUAGCUUGAUUAGCCUGGCACUCAAUACCUGCCAUUAUCGCAACAAAUUACACACAUCGCCAAUCGUGCAGCACAAAAGAAACACCGAGCAAAUCUUAACCCUAAUCCUCGCCCCAAUUGUAACGGAUAGAACAAAGAAACAGCGAAGAUCACUCACAGAGAUCCAUGAUGUGGUUCCGGCAUAUGGCGCAGUUGUCCACGACGAUAUCUGCAGAAACACAACCCGAUCAAAACAAUCGACUCGAUCGACCAGAGGAGAUACAGAGCUCAAAACAACGAAAAUUCGACCCUCGAUCUGAGGAAACCCUAGAGUUUUGUAGAGAGAGAGAGAGAGAGAGAGAGAGAGAGAGAGAGAGGAGAGCGAAGGGGAAGAGAUCGGUGUACCCCAGGCCCAGAGGGCGACGGCGUUCCACUUCUUAAUCUCGAAGCGCUUCGGCUUCUUCGCGACGGCGCCGGCGCCGGACGAGGAGGAGGGCGCUGCGGAGCUCGAUCCCUCGCCGGCCGGGACCAUGUUGAUGUCCGUGUCGAGCGUCGCCAUGGAUCGCCCCUCGAAACCCUAGAGAGAGAAUUGGAGCAGAGAGAGAGAAAGAGAGAGAGAGAGAGAGAGAGAGAGAGAGAGAGAGAGGAGUCAAGAGGACGAGUCACGGACAAGGAAGGGUAUUUAUAGGGUUUCGACAUUGUGGAUGGAGACUCGGAUUGCGCCCGUCCCAAUUAGAACCCAAUAAGAAAAAAGUUACAAAACCGGUAAAAAUGUAUAAAACGUCCCCAAACUAUUGAUAAUUUGGAAUCUACUAUCCAAUCUUUUAAUUUAUUUUAUUUAAAUAAUUUAAUAGCUCUUGAAGAUAUAAUUUUUUUUAAAAAAAUUUACUUUAAUAAAUUACUUUAUAUAAAUUAUACAAAAUAUUAUAACUAAAUCUUUAAGUUUAAAAAAAUCACUAAUUGGCUCAAAUUUAAUAAAUUAAAAAAUUAUGCAAUAAAGUUAAAAUUUUAAAAUAUCAUGUAGUCAAAUCCAAAAAGGCCCAAUCCCUCGUGAAUGGAACAAUAAGUGAGAACCGAUUUAGGGGUGUUUGGCCAAGCUUUUUAAAAGUGAUUCUGAGUUCAAAAGUAAUUUUGGGCUCAGUAGAGCGUUUGUUUGGCAAUAAAACCUUUAAAAACUGAUUCUGUUUUUGAGAAUUAAAAAACUGAUUUUUCAACCUUUAAAAGUAGAAGCAGAAAAAAGCUACUUCUCAAAACUGAUUCCCACAAAAGCAGUUUUCUCACUUAAAAUUUUUUAUGAAAAUAUCGAAACUACCCCUAAACAAACAAUAUAAUUCUACUCUAAUACUCUAACCUUUUAACACUUCCAACUACCCUCCUCUCUACCCUCCUCUCUCUCCCAUUUAAUUUGUAGUAUUGUGUAGUUUGUACGCGAUUAUGAAACAACAUUACAAAAUCACUUCAGCAAAAAAAUUUGCCAAACAGCUUUUUAAAAUCACUUCAACAAAAUUACUUUUAUAUCAGACUCACCAAACGCUUUACAGCUUUUAACAGAAAUUACUUUUUCAAACCAAAAUUAUUUUUUCAGAAGCUAGGCCAAAAGUUGCUUCAUAAUUCUUAUCAUUUCUUAAAAAAAAAAAAAAAGGUUUCUCUCAAAAAUUACAAAAUACUCCAAAGAAAAUUUUUUAUAGUAAAAUAAUGCAUAUUAGAAAAUUAUAUUGUAUAUAUUGUCAUACUUUUAAAUGCAUCCAAAUUUAAUGGGUUCACUGCACGGGGUUCCACAGAUAAUAUUUUAUUAGGGCAUCUCAUUGAACAACUAAGUAGACCACAAUGAUGCACCCACAUCUAAAACUUAUUUAUCUAAUAAAAAAACUAUAUAUAUAUUUUAUAAAAUCAAUUUUAAAAUUAAAAUAGAAAAAAAUAAAUAAAUAAAAAAAAAGNAAAAAAAAAAAAAAAAAAAAAAAAAAAAAAAAAAAAAAUCUGUAGUAAAGUGGAAAUUAACUGAAAAUUUCAUUAUUAUUUGAGAAGAAAUUCGCCAAUUGUUAAAACUUGCGAAAAAUAAAUAAAUAAAAAAACUAAAAAAACCUAAUGUAAUAAGAGAAAAUUUUGCUCAUACCGCCUCGAAGAAGCGAUUAUUUCGAAAAUUUUUACCAAUAUUUACACUCAGUUAUAUAAAGAGUAUGGCAUUUAUGGAGAAAGAAAUGUAAUUAAGAAUCUUUUCUAAAGGCUUUGCCUAUAUAGUGUUCCUAUGAUGAAUCCAAGUCAGUGCGCCGUCAUCAUCUGAUCAGCGCAGAUCGGAUCAGCGCUGUUGCAGAAUGCGACUCCAAUGUAAGCCCUUGAAGACGUCGAGCUCCUGUAAGAAGUCGAGCUCGAUUCUCGUCGGUUGGUUUCAAUUCCGAUAUAAGCCCUUGAAGACGAAGAACCCGAUCCCGCCAAUUGCAAGCAUGAGAACGAGCGGAUUCGAGAGCGCAUCGACAUCGAGCAACCUGUUUCCAUAGUUACUUCUCUUCUGACGGUUCGUCUCGGCCAGGUGGUCGUGGAGCAAGUUGAUAAUAUUGUCUACCUGAUGCAUCAUCUGACGCUGCCCUCGCGAUAUCAGCAUAAGCUGGGUAUAUAACAACAAAAGCUUAAAAUCAGAAAAGGAUAGGAUUAUAGAAUCAGAUAUGAAAUUAAGACCCUGCGAUUCGAUCAAACUCUAACGACGAUGCGGGUGCGGCAUCUUUUUCUUCAGAUGGUAAACUAAAUGACUUGAUUCUUAGGUAGCAGAAAAAAUUUGACUAUUAGGUAAAAUUGAAACUCUUAUUAAGGAUUCAAGUGAAAUCGGCUAAAUUAUUCGUGGACUAAAUUUGAGCGCAAACAAAUGGGUAUAAUAAAGAUUGAUCGAUUAAUCGCAAUAACUAAAAUACUCUCCUGAAUCGCGAACAUUACCAUGAUAACCAUAGGGAUAGCCAAAAAUGCAAAUUAACACAAGAAAAGUGGUAAACCAUAAGGCAAAAGGAGAUAAUUUUGUGAAUGGGACAUAAAUUAUGUAGAGCCCGAACUUUUAUGGCUACGGUAACGAUUCUAAUGAGUGAUUAAACCCAAAAAAAAAAGGUAAAGUGUACAGAACUUAUCCAAACUAAGGAUCUAUUUUAAAUUGGCUACCCAAUAUUUCAAAAUUUUGGUUUUACUAUCAAACCUUUCAAUUUGUUUGAAUUGAAUGAGUCGGCGGGAUUUUGACUUCAAUAUUUGAAUGCGUAGUUUAUCAGUACAAGUUUAAUUAGUAUACUUGAGGUAAUUCUCGCAACUAUGAAUCCAUUAAAAUAAAUAAUUAACUUAAAUUUUAAAGUCAAAGUCCCGUUGACCGACUCAAAUCAAACAAAUUGAAAACUUGGGAAUGGAAGUUCUAUUAAGUUUUCACCGAAAAAUAGAAAAAGAUAAGAGAAGAAACAUAACAUAUCAAAUAAAAACAACCAAAAAGCUAAAACAGUGGGACAGUUAAAAAGGUGGCUAGAUUCUUGCUUACCUCUUCCAUUACUGGAGAUUCCUUGAUCAGUUGGUUGGAAGAUGAAGAAGUGGGCAGCAAAGUGCCGUUACCCAAAUUCGACACGAACAAAGAGGUCGGCACAGAGCCAUUACAAGCUUCUGCUUGGAGAGGCAAGUUCUGUUGACUCAUAGGCAGCUUCUUCGUACUCAACUUGGAACCCAGCUCCUCGAUUUGGGAAGUGAACUCAUCCAUCCUUUCAUUCAGAGUUGAAAUUUGUUCCGACAGCUGGGUGAUCACCCCCUAGAGAAAAUAAUGGAAAAUAAGGCGAUGGGCAACAUAUAGGAUUGAUUUGCAAAUUGUAGACUUCAUAAUGUGAGCUUUUACAUAACUUUAUCCCAGCAAAAUCAUCUAUUCGCACAUGUACCCCUCUACGAUCUGAAAAUUUUUCAUUCCAAAAAAUGUGUCUAAAAUUGAGUUUGGGCGUCAUCCAAUCCAUAGGGGGAAGUUGUAGUUAUAUUAAGGGAAAAAGAGAUGUUCUAAAGAGGGGCAUUUAUUUACUUAUAAACAAUACAAAUAACUGAGAAUCAAGUUUCUGAAGAUCAAAUACAAAAAUUCAGGUUUUGCGGGAUAUGGAAGUAAACAUCUCCUAUUAUUCUAAUAGAACUCUCUAGGUCACAAUUGCUCGACAAGGUCACCUGAUUGAUUGAAGGAGAUUCAGGGGUUCGUCCGCUAUAUCUUCUAUUGGUUUCGGUAAGUUUCGAUAACUUCACGAUAUUCUUAUCCCCUUGUGUUGAAAAGGAAUGAGACAUGCCACUGCAGGAUAUCCACAUUAGACAUUUACAAAUUAAAUCAUAAUAAACAAACAUAAUGCCAAAAUCAAAAACUUGACUUUGAUGUCUAUGUAAUAAUCAGACAUAAGUAUUAGACGACACACAAAAUGAAGAACAAAUGCAGAUUUAUUUUCAAUAAGAAUAACAAUAAGAUUGCAAAAGAGAACCUUUUGAGAAGCUUAUUCCUCAUGGCAACCCUGUCAGCAGAGGCCCGCGAAAGUGCCUCCUUCGGACUAGAAGCCAAAUCAUCGUCUAUACUGAGCUUCGUCUUCAAAUCAUCUGGCAAUGCCUGCAUAACUUUUUGUGAGAAAUGCACUACUGUAGAAAGAACAGCAACAAGAAGGUAUCGCUAUAGUUUCAUACCAUCACAUCAUUUACAAGUUUUUCCAGUUGAAUCUGCUCGAUGUACGUGCGAGGAAUAUAAGAACCUUCCAAGCCCAACUGUUCUGCGAUAUACUUGACAUAAAGGCGGUCUCUUCCUUGCACCUAAACCAAAAGGAAAGCAGCUUAUCAAUCUUAAGAAUCACGCUGCCAUCAGCAAGAGCACAGUGACAGUUAAAAUAAAUUUCUAUGAGGAGAAAUUUACCUGGAUGUAGCGACGGUUAAGUUGUUCUAACCUAUCAAUUUUAACAAUUACCCUGCUAUCAGCAAAUACGUGGCUGCUUCUUUUAAGAAUAGCUGCUAUGCUGUACCCCAAGGCCAUCAGCCCACCAAGAAGACGGACGCUAACUUCAAAAGUAAUUCUCGGCGAUAUGAUGAAGGGAUUGUCCGUCACCCAUUCCUGAAAGAUUCAUAAACCAACUUAUGGUGGCUAAAAAUAGGAUUUCCAUUUUAAAAAAAAUCUUUAAUGCGGAAAAAGAACCUUGUAAUUAGGGGUGUAAAACAGGCCGGGCGGCCCGUGCCCGGCACGGCAUCGGGCCGGGCUGGAGCAUGGCAUGGAUGCUGUAGCACCCGUGCCGGCCUGGCCCGAACGGUAUUUGAGGGCCAUGCCGGGUCUGUCCUCUUGGGCCUGAUGGCCCAGCCCGGCACGGCCUGAAACGGGCUUGGGCCGUGCUGGGCCGAGGAGAGGCCCGUGGCCCGGCACGGCACAGCCCGCUUGGGCCGUGCCAGUCGGGCUAGCACGGCCCGAACAACAAGGCCCUUCUUCUGGGUUGGAUCUCCUAGGGAGAAGGGCCAGGAGAUCUCCACCCAAGGUCUGCCACAGCAGACCUUGGGAGGAGGUUUUUGGUCCAAUGGACCAAAAUACGUUGGUCCAUUGGGCCAAAAACACUCUUAAUUUCUUUUUUUUUUUUAAUGAAAUAUAUAUAUAUAUAUUUUUUAAAAAUUAAAUAUUUGUUAUAUUAUAAUUAUUUUUAUAAAUUUUAAAUUUUUAAAUAGAAAUAAUUAUUUAUUUAUAUUUUAAAAUAUAUAUAUUUUUUUAAAAAAAUAAAAAAAUAAAAUCUUUUAGGGGCCGACCCGGAGCACGGCCCGGGCCUGGUCGGCCCCUCGCCGGAAUAGGCACGAAAAAUGUGGGCCGUGCCGGCCCGACACGGCCCACAUUACACCCCUACUUGUAAUCUUCUUUUUAUCUCAUCAAAAGUAACUAAUUUUGCUGAUGCAACUUUGUAGGGCUCAUUUCACCAUUUUAUCAUGACAACCGCCAGGAAUGAAGUACUUGUGAGUUACAACUUCAAAAAAAUUUUGUUCUGAGGCUAACGUUUUAAAGCAUACUAACUAGAAACGUGAUAAACUAAAGAAAGACUAUUAUUCCACUCAGCUAUGUUCUGCAGUUAAAAACUUAAAAUCAAAUAAAAGUGUAAGUUAUUGAGUACUAAAGGUAAAAAUGGAGCAUAUUUUAUCCAUCACUAACUAAAGAUGGGAAUAUUCACUGGCGUUAUCAUGCCAAGGGACAAGAAAUAACUAUUAUCCCACCCAGGUUAAUUAGGUUAUGAAAAAAAAAAGAAGUGCAUAUAAAAGGAACUUUCGACACCAAGCUUCACAUUGGACAUAUACGAAUCAUUACAAUGAGAAACAAAAGUAAAAAUAGCACAAACCUCAAACAUAAGAUUGUAUUUUCCGUCUCUGUUUCGCAUCCUCAAAUAUGAUUGGCAUGCCUCUGGAUCUUCACCUGGUGGAAGUAGAUAUAUAUCGUAAGUCUCCUCCGUGCUUUCUGUAUGUUCUGGAGAUAUAGCGGCCUUGAUUUGAUCAGGUGUAAUGGGCUUUGGUGACUGCAACAAUGGCACAAAUUAUUAGACACUAUCAGAAGAAUAGAAAACCAAUAAAAGGAACCAUCUGCUAGUCCUGUCUCAUUGUUCCCACCUAUUCUCAUUGUUCCCACCUAUUUAAAUAGAUAAAGCAUACAGAUAGUUUCUGCACUACCCGAUAUUGCGACUGAAUCCUUAAACUUUUCACUUAAAAACUUUAGUCCCUAAACGUUCUGAUAUAUUGAAAAUUCAUCCCUAAUCAUCCAAAAAAGAAAAAAAAACCUAAUUUUCUUGUAAAAUGACCAUUUACCCCUACUCUUAAAUGACUUCCUUAUUUUAGUUUACUUGAAACAAGUUAAGAAGUUGGUUUUAUAGCAGAAAGUCAACAGACAUCAUAUUUCUUUAAGUAUUAAGGAUGAAGAAACAGUAUACGAGAAAGUUUACCGACUAAAGUGUUCAAGUAAAAAAUUUAGGGACCAAAACACACUGUCAAGAUAGUACAUGGACUAUUCAUACAUCUAACCAAAAUUAAAAAGAGCAAAAUAGAAUUAGGGAGUAACCUUCAGAAUGUAUGUGGGAUUCUGGAAGCCGGAGAAUGGAUUGAACUUGUUGAUGAUUUUUAUAUGUGCUGUUUGGAGAUCUGGCUCAAUGAAGGCUUUGUACAUUGGAUAAACCUGCAGAAUAGCAUCCAAAAAUUCAUUACUACAAACAGCCUCUUCAGUUUGUAUUAUAGAAUUCAAGUAUCACAGAAAUGCCCAGUGACUACGAACAUCGAGCAUUUAACUGAUUGACGUAACAGCCUGAUUGGUGUGGCUUUCAGAAUUUUUGUUCCGAAAGCAGCAGGCAAGCAUUUGGUUCAUAUCGUCUGAAGCUUUUGCGAGAAACAAAAUGAGAUUCCAACCAAACCUUAAAACCAGAAGCUCUAACUUGAGGUUCUGCUUAUGCUGCAGCGGCACGCUAUAAGAAGUUUCUUGAAAAAGUUUUUAGUGCUUCUUUACUCAAAGAGCACUUCUACAGAGUCUCCAAUUGGGCCAAACAGGCCCUAGACCAAUAAGUACGGUCUAGAUUGCCUUCUUUUUUCUUAUGAGCAUUAGGAAACAGAUACAUAAAUGUAGGGCAGAAAAGGCAAAUAACCGUCUCAGAGAUUUGAUGAAUUAUUUCUUCAGGUUCUUGGCCAGCACGUUGUAUGUCCCUUAAAACCCUCUUCACCAGGUCGAAAUGCACGCCGCCCGUCACAGAAACACGCAGGUCAAGUAGAGAUCGCAACUUCUCGCUCAAAGCAUAGAUUCCUUCAAUAAUUACGAUUCGGGAGCUAGGGACAUCUACUGUUCUGUUGAUAUUAUAAAAAGAGUUAGAAUAUAAGUGAGAAGUUAAGAAUUUGUUGUCUAAAGAACUGAAGGCCUAUGGAAUCAGGAUUGAAGAAAUUCGGGCCUGUUCAGAGUGACUAGAGGUUUUGCAAAAGUGCUGUUAAGUAUAAAUGUUCAAAAAGCACUACAGCUCUUCCAUUUACAUCCUUACCAACAAUUUAACGUUGCCAAAACUUCAAAUUGGAGCUUCUGAUUUUAGAUUUCAAAAGCUCAUUCAGCUUCCUACAGCAGAACAGGAAGGAAAAAAAAAAAGGACAUCUUGUUCCAAACACCUAGCCGCAGCUUUUGAGUAGAGGAGUUGUCCAGAAGCUGGGCAAAAUAGGCACUUUGGCCUAGUUUGGAUAUUAGAGAAACUUAUCCAAUGAUAACUUAUGCAUUACAGGGAUUUCCUUGUGUGAUUGCAAGCUUGGAGUUUGAUUUUAGCUCCUUUGGAAGUCUUGAUAUCCGUGACUUGUUAAGAGAGUACGUUUCACUUGCUAAGUGAUUUACUUUAUUCUGAGAAAAUGACUUGAAGGCCAGAUAUGGUUUGCCUUCCUAUGCAUUUGAUCAUACUCAUUUACCAAAUGCUAAAAGCUUCUUAAUUAAAGAAUAAAGGUGUGCUGAACAAGAUGUUCAUGCAUCCAAACUGGCCUUAAAGUGUAUGCUGGCAUCCUAUUUGUUAUAUGGAAAGGAAAAUCUCACCUGUAUCCGGUGCGGCAGCUCAACUUGUAGUCGUAAAUUGGCACUUCAACCGAUUUCCCUUCUUUUAGACCAUGAAUAUUUUCCAACAAAGUGUCAUAGUCAGUCAGGCGUGGGUCUGUUGAGAAAUUGCAUGAUACCAAUAUUAGAUUCUCCAUUAACAACUAAUCCUUUGUUACACAACUGCUUCUGCCAAUGAACAUAAGGAAAAUACGAUAUUGUUUACAAAACAAACAGGAAAUGUUAGGCAAGAAUAGAUAUUACCAUCAAAGUUGCCAUCAAUAAUUCGACUGGAAUCAUUGUAAUUGUCCAUCGAUAUGAGGGCAAUGCUAGGCAUGAAGUUGAGCACCUUCUCAGUAAACACAGUCUUUCCGGCCCCAGAGGGACCUGCGAUCCCGACCACAAUUAUCCCAUCGUUUUUUUGCGCCAGUAACUGGCAAGCACGAAUGACUAUAAAGAAGCCUUUCUCGAAAGAUAGCGGAUCUUGAAUCGGGACGAUUUCGUAACGGUCGCAGUCCUUUCUCUUCACCAACUGGACCUGAUCUCUUAGAAGACCCGUCUUUCGCCGUGGCGAUUCAGCGUUAGAGCUAUCUUGUGCCAUCAACAAGUUGAGCAGUGUGGGGUAACCCUGCAAAGCAAAUAGAGGCAAGCCAAUCAUAUCUCUAUAGUCAAAACAUAACAAAAAAAAAAAUCGCUCUGUUGUUAAAGAAAAUAUUAUUUUCAUGAGAAAUUGAAUUCAUCUCCUGAAAGAUGAGACCAUAUAUUUCAUCUUCUCAAUGUAGAAUUAUUCUCCUUCGGAAAUCAUUAAACUCCGGCCUCCAUGUGCUUCGAAGCGCAAACAUUAUUUAAUAAUGUAGAAUCAAGAAAACGCUUCCCCUAUUACUUUUGACAUGAACUUUUAAGUACAUAAGGCCCUCCAUAAACUGCUAGUUUGAGCAAAUUGCUUGAAAGUUAUGAACCUCUGUAUUAUUGGUGCAGUAAUAAUACAUAAACCCACUAAUCAUUUUUCUCUACACAAUAACUGGUGGUAUCACUUCUAAAUACAUCGGCACCAGAAGAUAACUGUUAUGUAGAGAAAUUAAUAUCUCAACAAGGGUAAAAGAUAGACCCAUUACAAUGGUUCCCAACAAAGGAGUUUUUUGCAUGAAUUUGAUGAUUUUCCCUAUUCCUCAUAAGCCCGAGGACUACACUAUGACGACCACACAAGAGAUUUCGACCCCGAAAAUUACAUCCUUAGCUGCAACCACUGUCUCAAAAUUCUCCAAGUUUUCGAAAAAUUCUUGAAUAGUUCAGAUUUUUUUUUUUCUUUUCCAAAUAUAUCUGUGAUUUACUUAGUUGUAAAAUUAAUACAAAGCAAUAAACAUAGCAAGCUACGAAUAACCCACAAAUCAAUUCACUAAUUGCAAAUACUUUAUACAACAUUCACAAACAAAUGAAUCACAAGAAUUUGGUAUUUAUAUGCACUUUUACAGGUUCAUAUUUAUAUUUUUUUUGACGGAUUAUUUUCCGAACUCUCCGAAUUUUGGCCAAACUCCAAACUAUUCAACCUUUCCCCACAAAUUUAAACUGAAUGCCAAAACCAAUAUACUAUUAACAGUUAAAUGACAACAAAAAUAUACUAAAUAAUAAUAAUAAUAAAAUGUAUCCGCUAUUUCGACAUAAUCCUUAGAAUCUAUGACUCAAAACAAUUUUAGUCCCCAAAAAUUCCAUCCUUAGACGCAAAAUUAUCUCCUAAACCUUGUUCCAAUUACAUAAAACUAAACCAAAAAAGCAACUUUUUCCCUCUAUAGUAAUUGGAAAAAAGGGAGAAAAAAAAGUGAUUACAUCGAAAAAAUUACCCAAAAAUAGAGAAAAAAAAAAAGUGAUUGCAUGGAGUUAAUUACCCAAAAAAGCGGGGAAAUUGUAGAGAUCGAAGAGUAGAGCAAUUAAUGAUCGAACGUACAGCGUUGGUUCGAUCGAGAACGGGGAACAAGCAGGAGUAAUAGAAGCGGGGGUAGAGAGAGAGAGAGAGAGAGAGAGGCGAAAUUGAUGACAGGUUAGGGUUUGUUGUGGGCCGAAUUGGAUUGGGCCUCGGCCCAUUUGUAAACUCUUAUAUCCUUUGGCUUUGGAUUAAUCCGGUGAGAUAUUUUUUGAGAAAACUUCAAAUACCACUCCGUAUUUUCGCACUUUCUUACUUCUUAUCCUGUGAUUUAAAAUGUAUCACUUUCGUCCCCUGUGAUUUUAUUUUUCUCGUUUUGCUUUCCCCGCCACUAAUUUUUUUUAUUAAAUCAGUAAUAAAGUUAAAACUAAAGAGUACUAAAGUGAAUAUUUGAUAAACCAUAGUUGGGGUAUCUGAAUUUUUUUGUAUAUAAUAUAAUUUAACGAAAAGUUAACGAAGGGGCUAAUGAAAAGAAAAAAAAAUGAAAUCAUAAGGUACUAAAAAUUGAUAUAGUUUAAACCAUAAAGUACUAAACUGAGAAAGUAUGAAAUCAUAGUGGUGGUACUUGAAGUUUAACUAUUUUUUUAAAAAAAAUUGGC